UUGUUUUUUUUUUGGUGGGGUUUUUAUACGCAGCAGACUAAGUGGAGAGCUUUGUUUUUUUUUGGUGGAAAGUUGGGUUCUGCUAUAUUUUCACACUCCACCCUUUUUUAGUUUGUCCUUAUGUGGAAAUAUCUAACGUAUCCCUAUCCCAUCAAUUAACGUGGAGCCUGACUUUUUUGUGGUUGCAUCGUUUGCCUUUUGUGGUUGCAUCGUUCGCCUUCAAGCACACCCAUUCUUAUUAAUAACUUGACUUUUUUGUGGUUGCAUAGUUCGUUCGCCCCAAGCACACCCAUUCUUAAUAAUAACUUGACUUUUUUGUGGUUGCAUCGUUCGCCUUCUAGCACCAUUGGCCUUUUACAUAAAGUAGUGAUGCGGUAUUUGUUAGUUAUGACUGUUGAUUGAUUGAAUGAUUAAUUUAUCUGGGCGUGUGAGUGGAGGAUUUGGAUUCUCUUGGUUGAUGUAGGAUUCUCUCUUCUCUUUUUUUUUCCCUUCCUUUCCAUUAUAUUCGAACAAUCACGGUUAAGUCACGUCAACAUCUUAUAUUAAUUUUUUAUAACAAAAGAAAGACAAAAUAAGAGAAUGUGCAAGGAAUGAUAGAAAAUGAUGGAAAGAGGAAAGAAGAGAAUCCUAGUCCCUCUUAGUCUUCUUGGCACGUUCAGUUUUUUCCUUGUUUUUCUAAUCAUUUCUUCAUUUUUUUUUCUUUUCCAGUUUUUUCUUAUUUAUCUAUCUUUUCCUGAUCUGUUUAAUGUUAUUUUACAAAACUACAUUUGGAGAUGAUGAAUCAAUUUUUCACAUUAGUCUUGAAUUUUUUUUAAGGACUUUUAUGUCUUAUUAUCUUCUGACGAAGCCUUGUGACUCUAAAAUAAGGUCCUGACUUUCAAACAGCAAAAAUUUGAUUUAGUUUAUCAUUAUCAUAUAUUAGCCCUCUACGCGGACGGGUAAAAAUGAAAUUAAAUUAGAAACACCUAUUUAUUAGAGAGAGUACCAGCGAGGGUGAGCAACAUGAAAAACAAGAAAAGCUAUCGGGACCACCGCGUGUGAGUUGAGCAGAAUAAGAAACAAGAAACUAAAAAGCCGAUUCGAGGUCUCAUUUUCCUUGUAGUAACUAACACUGCGUCGGCAACAAAAUUUGCUAUCUUCUUAGUCUUGCUAAUAUAGUGUUAAUUUCGUGAGCACGUGUCUUCCUGACCAUGUUUGUCUACAGCCCAAGUUCCAAAUCCCACAGUCCUAAUUUCGUGAGCACGUGUCUUCCUGACCAUGUCUACAGCCUACAAAACAUUAAUUCAUCCAAAAAUAAAAAGACAUAUAUAAACGUCAAAAUUAUUAAGUGUCACGAAAAAUAAAUCCCAAAUUUUGUUAUAGAUUCGUAUUAAUUAGCUUGAUUGCAAAAGACUCAUAUGUACCAAGUUUCGUUGCACUAAUAUUAGAUCACAUAAGAAAUUCCAAGAAGCAAUUCAAGAUCGAAGUUGACGAUAUAAUCUCAUUUUAUUUUUAUGGAUGAGUUACUUUGCUAGCUAGCUUUCCAGUACUUUUGCAUGCUAUUACAGUUGUUUCAUAUUUAUCGAAUAUGAUAUGGAGCAUCACUUGGAGAUGUAACGGUAGCGCAAACAACAAAGUUUAUUUAUUUAAUUAUUUUUUUAACAAAUGAUAUUAUCUAUACUAAGGGGAGAGGGUGGGCUUAACCUCACAAUGAGCUAGCAAUAAUAUGGUAUAAACUCGCAUUUGGCGAGAAUCGAACCUGAGACUUCUCACUUACAAGUGAAGAGGAAUACCACUAGACCGUAAUACUAAAUAGCAACAACAAAGUUUAAUUGCCUGCUAUGUUUACCUUAUCAUGUUAUUUUUUUUGUUUCAAUUCGUCUGAGAAUGUGAAGAAUUUUAGUUUGGAAAAGAAACAUACAAGACAACCAUUGUUGCCGACCAUGGCCAUAUACGAGCAUUGUCUAAAAAUAAAGAUUUAGGUUAAAGCAAAAAACAUCUAUAUUUACAUUAUUUUUUUUUUGUCAAACAAGGCAGCUAUAAUUUCUACUCACUGGUUACAAUUUUACAUUCACAUCUUGUUAGGCCAUUUAAAAGAAUGAAUGUAGUGCGGGGUGCCGAGACGGAUCAUAUAUGAUUACUUUAUCAAGGGGAAUGGCAUCUUCCUUUUAGACACUGAUUAACAAAGAAAACAACAUUAACAGAAGGAAAAUUAACUGCUUCUGAAAAGGGAAUUACAUGGCGGGAACCAUUGAGUUUUCCUAUAUCAUAGUGUUUUGCCUUCAGGUGUAGAAAAUUGAAAGCGCGUUGCACGAUUCCAUAGUUUAAAGUCAUAACAAAAUAGGUGCACGAUUUCAUCUUUUUGAAAGUCAUAACAAGAUUUGAUUAAGCAUGUUGCCCUCUUAGAGCAUCUCCAGUGGAAUCCCUAUAUAGGGACAAAUGAACCUCCAAUGAAUCGAAAAGUGAGUUUCUAAAGUAUACGGACUCGUCGGAUACUUAGUCUAUGUACCCAUAUGUAGGGACUCUAUAGAGACUGAAAUGGUGGACCCGAUAGGACAAUUGAAGUGAAAUGGUAGGCGUGGGUCCUAGUCACAUGGCCUUGCAUUUUUUUUUCUCUUUCUUUUCAACCGUUUAAAGUGGAGGGUCUUGAUUGAUUCUUGCUUUUCAAAUUUGUUACCAUUGAAAGAUCAACGGUUCUAAUUAAAUAACUAUUUCAAUUUAGGUUACUCUCUCAUGUUGGUUUUCAAUUUUAUUUUUCUCUUUUCUUAUUGCCUCCAUUGAAAGAUUAACAGUUUCAAUUUGGAUUACUCUCUCAUGUUGUUCUCUCAUCAUUCCUAUAAUCACCAUAUUAUCUAACCAAAACUUACCGCAACUUCAUCUCCUUACAAGAACGUAAUGUUAAAUUAAUUCAAAAAAAUGUUAACAUAAAUAAGAAAUGUGCACCUAAUCAAAUUAUCACAUAAAAUUGUAAAAACCUCAAAUUUAGGGAUUCUACUAUAAGGACUCUCUUAUUGGAGACAAUAUUCCUUUAGGGACAUAAAGAUUCCCUUUUAAGUCUUUAAACGAGUACUCAAAUGUGGUGGUGGGAGUCCCUAAAUAUAGACUCCCAUUGGAGAUCCUCUAAGAUAGGUGCUACUCAUGCUUAACUUCAUCUCCCCCCCCCCUAAUUUUCUAGUUUAGUUUUUUUUGGAAUUUUCAAAAUUUAAGAUUCAUAAUGCUAAUUUAAAUUCAGCAUAAUAAUCUUCAUUUUGUUGGUUGAAUGUCUUACAAAAAUGCACCGAUGUGUUUUUUGGGUUGUUUGGAAGUGCUUUUAAUAGAAACAAUGACACACCCAACCUCGAUAUCCUCCAAACACCAUGGUAGGCAUGUGAUGGCCAACACACGAAGGCGAUGAAGCCAUAUUAACAUGCAUGUAGGUUAUGAAGAAAUAACAAAUGUAAAUAAAACAAGUAAAUUUCACUAAUAAAGAAUAUGCAUAUGUGGGAACAUGUUCAGAGCAUACAACUAAUUAAGAAUACUGUUGAAGAAAUACUAUAAGGUACGAACAAAGGAAUGAGUCAUACACCGAGAGGACUCGAAGAUACUGAUGUUGGAGUGCCUUGACGCCAGGAUAGUACGCCUUGAUUCUAAGUCCUGAAGGGGGCGCAAAACAAAGCAUGAGUGGACCAAGUUUACAUACUAACCCCCAGUUUUAGAAAACUCAUAUAGCUAAUAAGUAAUAGGUUUUCCGAAAACCUUAGCAUGCCAUAAAACUUUCAUAAAACAUAUAUCGUAUAUAGUGUGCUUAGUAGUGGUGUCACAAUCGCCCGAAGGCCCUACACCGUCCGCCCGAAGGCAUAUAUAAAUAUUCCGCCUAAAGGCCCUACAUUGCACGCCCGAAGGCAUAUAUAAAUCUUCCAGCCGAAGGCACUACAUCGCCCGCCCGAAGGCAUAUACAAAUCAUUCGCUCGCAGGCACUACACCGCCCGCCUGAAGGCACAUAUAUCAUUUGUCCGAAGGCAUAUAUAAAUCAUUCGUCCGUAGACACAACAUCGAAAGAAAACCCUAAUUUUCGAUUUUUGCUAUCUCUUUCGGUGUUUGAAAUUUUGCAGACAUGGGACUCCUACGACGACCAUUCGUUGUGAAGGUUUCAUAUCCUGGUCCUGACUUUGCUGCUGGUUAUGAUGGUGUGUUGAUUUAUUUGUUUUAUAUUCUUUGGUUUCGUUUUUGGUGUUUUAUUUCUGUUGUUUAUGCAAAUAAUAUCCAUCUUCUGUUGUUUUAUGUAUCUUGUGGGAUUUUUAUUUUUGAUCCAACUGUUUUGCGCUGGAUUGGAUGGAGUUGUAUCUACUUAGUUUUUGUUUUGAACUUUCAAGCAUCAAAGUAAUCUGGCUGGGUGGGUGUUUGCAUUGUUUUUUUUUUUUUUUUCAGUUAAUUAUUUAGUUUUGCAAGUACCCUUGCAUGUGCCCUAGUUAGUAUUUCCUACCCCCGUAAAGUAGAUUUGGUCUCUCUAUCGCGCUCUCUCUCUAUAGUUCAUUCCUUACAGAUUUAUGUUCGAACUUUCAGUGCAUCAUCCAGAUUAUCACUCCAAAAGGCUUCUUUUUUCUUAUUUUUUGUCUUUUUCUCUUUUCUGAAGUUCCACACAGUUAUUUUGUAUCAUAUUAAUCCAAUGAUCAAGUUCAACUAUCUAUUUUCAUAUCCCCAUUUAUCAUAUAUUAUUUACAUACAAGUAAGAAAAAUUAGUGAUCAUAAGCAUAACUACACACUGGGCUAUUUUUAAGUGUGUUUCUUAUACAAGCAAUACUUAUUCUAGACUAAUCUAAACUACGGGAAAGAAAAUUCAAAAUUGAGUACAUAAAGAAAGCACAUAAACUCUAACUAAUAUGAUUGCGACUAGUGCCAUCGUUUGCUGCUAAGUUCAAGUGUUUUAACUAAUUAAGAGGUUCCUUUUCCCACUUCCUCUCCAUCUUGCAUUAAUUUUACAUGGUUUUUAAUGUGCAAAAGGUUCCUAAUUCUCAGCCAAGAACAACUAUUUGAAGCAAUACAGCUCUAAAAGCAGUAUUAAAUCAGCUUAGAACCAGGUUUUUCCCUAAAACCUAUUAAGAAAAUGGCCAGCCCACUAUUUCAAAGUUUUUGAGAUUAAACUUGCCACAAGCAUCUAUCAUCAAAUGGAAGAAUGCAGACUCAACUCCAUCACACCCAUGGACCACCUUUGUUUUCUCUCUCUACUCUCCCUCUCCUUCUAGAGAAUUAGCCAAAUUGCAAUUUGGCUCCACAUCACCAUUCCCUUUAACAAUUAAUAUCUUUGAGGUUUGACCAACUUAAUGGUCAAAUAAAAUACAUCUUUACUAAGCCUCUGUUGCCUUUGCACAUGGAUAGAAGCCACAAAACCCUCCAUAAAAAUUACAGUUAAGUCUUCUCUGUAAAGCAAUACCUAAAAAGGGUUCAAAACUUUUGCCUUUUGGAGUGAUAAUUUGUAAUGUUGUACAAUAUAUAGAUACAUAUAUUUUGAAUAACAUUUUAUUUUCCGAUUAAUUGAUGUUAUAUAUUGUCAAAUUAUGAAUAUGAAUUGUAAAUUUACUUAACUCGUGUCUAAAUAUUCUAAUAGGCGUAUGCAACUCUCGGUGAAAAAUGUUAGAGCGUGCAAACAGGCAUGGUUUUCACUGUUAAUUGCCCUCUCAUUAUAGACACUAUGAUUAACAAAAGAAAACAACAUUUGGAGAAGGAAAAAUAAGUAUACAUGUAGGUGGCAAGAAAAAGUAACGAGGUGAAUCCACGUUUAUAAAAGCUAUGCCAGUAUGCUACUAGCUACACAUGAUAACCUAUACCUGACUAUUGAGUCAUAAAUGAUAAACAUGUACGACCGAAUAUUCAAAUGUGAUUUCUUCAAAUAUAAAUUUUGAAGAGUAAUUUUACUUUAGUUUCAGUCUGCAAGACUUGAUCACUUAAAGAUAGAGUCACAUUAUUUUCAUUUUAAUGUCUUAUCUCUUCAUCUAUUUUUUAAUAAAUUUUUUAAUUACAACUAUGCCUAUUUGUAAAAUGACUAAUAAAGACCUUAAAAGAUAUAAUAAUAAUAAUAAUAGUAAGUUAUAUUUUUAUGCAGGUGUUUUUUAAUUUGUAUUAUGUUUGUAGAAAAAAGUAUGUGAUGUAAAACUUUUUUUCUUAAUAUGAAACAAUCAUUUUCUUAUGUUAGAUGAAGCAGAUGAAAUUAAUUCCAUCACGAUCAUGUCCUUAAUUAAUUUUAGUUUUAUAUAUUAUUUGUUUAUAUCCUUUUUUCUAAGAGACAAGUUUAUAAGUUAAGAUAUAUUAGAGGUUAUUUUAGAAAUAAUAGGCUAAGGAAAUAAUAUUUCAAUUGUUUGACUUUUUACAGCGGGUGAGAUUAUAAUGUGAAUGAAAAAAAUAAGACGCUUGUUUCGGUUGGUGAUUUAUAAUACUCUCAAAAGAUAAUUCUAAAAAUAUUUAAAAACUCGUUAAUCUAAAAAGGCAGAUUUGAAAGUUUCUGUCUUUGGAAACCAGUAUCAUACGAGCCUACCAUACACACUCUUAGGAAGUAAAGAAUUUCUAACAGGAUGCAUGCUUCCCCUCUCAUUUAUAUAUUUCUGCUUUUUUCUGUGGCGGUGGCAAGAUACACUUUAGAAAUGCCCUAAUUAGUCUAAUAUGAAGAAAGCACUCGGACUUGGUCUCUUAAGAGGAAUAUAACCUAUUAGUAACUUGAAAAUAGUCAGAAUGAUACAAUUGCCCAAACGGAAAUAAGCAGAGUUUGCAUCUUUUAUUAUAGACACCAUGAUUAACAAAAGAAAACAACAUUGAGAGAAGGAAAAAUAAGUACUUCCCAACUUCGAGGUGUGACAACUGAAAGUGCCAAGACAAGUUUCUCCGAAAACGGCUAUAGUGAUACCUUAAAGGCAUAACAUGUGAAGAUAGGUAGAUAGAAGCUAUCUUUAAAGGUAAACUAACUUCAUCUUCUUAUUUCUUAAACUACAUAUACUAUAUAGCAGCUCACAUCACUUGACUCAUGAAAAGUUCUUCUGUUCCUUCCUAAUCCACCAUCUUGCGCACGCAGUGGAGCCUAGUAACUGCCCUCAACCAUCCUCGUGUCUCGUCGUAAUCCACAAAUGCUUCCCUGGUAUACACGGUUAAGCCAUUGUUACUGGCAUGCAUCACAUAAUCCUCCUGGCCGAUGUGGCCGUCCUGAUUGUUUCCCGGCAACUCUAGAAUGCAAUUAUCCAGAUGUUCUAAGGACUCGAAUUUCCUCCUAGGAUAGUAGACAUAAUUAGCCCCAUCGAUCUCAAACCGUACAUUUCCAACUACAUUUUGCCCAUAACGUGCUUGUACACAUUGCAAACGGCCCCUCACUGCCAGCCACCCUUCUCUCAUUGCAUCCUCCACCCUCAUUGGAGUGUCUUGACGAUUUCGGCCUUGCCCUUGCCUCAUGACAAAAAAUACUUCAUGUAUUGGGCUGACUCCUUUAUUGUUGUCUACAUCUUCAACACUCAGAACGUGCUGCACAAACGACUCAACAGAGUCGUAAAUGUCCAAAUCGAACGUGUGGAUGUAUGAGAGCUCAUCCUGAUUAUAAAUUUCCUUCAUUAGAUCAACUUCUGGACUGCUUCUACCUCGCCUCUGGCCAUGUUGUCGACUCUGUCUACGUCUGCCCCGUGUAGGCCCUCCUCUGUCGCCUCCGUGGCCACCCCCUUGAGCCAAUUGAGCUGCUCCAGGGGCGGCAAUAGGGGCUCUUCCUCUCAUAGCUCUCUGGAACUGGCCUUGGCGUUGGCCUCCCUUGCUACUAGAAUGUCUCUUAAAAUUUUGGUUCUGCAUAAGCAAGUCCUGAGCAGGGUUACAAUCAUUGUAGUGGAUAAAUAUAUAAACAGUAUCAAGAACUGAGACAUAAAAUGAACACAAGAAAAGAUGAAAGAAAAUGCAGACAGCAUAAAACGGCCUUCUUCUAGUAUCAUUGCUGCAGAACUCGUUUAACCAAACCAAGCACUGCACUCUAUAUAAAGCUAGUUUUUUAUUUUUUAUUUUUUUUGAAACACACUAUAUAAAGCUAGUUUGAGGUAAAGUUAAGGACUUGAUUACACCUAGUGGCAAAACUUUUGUUUAUUUAGAUUAGGGAGUUGAGGAUUCUACUUUAAAACAAGAGAAAUUUAACGAAAAACGCAUGGUACUGUUCACUUUAACGAAAAAUCACAUUUUUACACUAAAAAGUCAAUCCUGGUACAAUUCACUUUACCCUUUAUUUUGUCCUUAUCGUUAAAACUCAAAGUUUUCAAACCAUUUUCAUUAGUUUUCCUUUUAAAACAAUAAAGAAGAAAGCCUACCAAAUUUAUCCCUCAUCGCUUCUAGUUGUGCGCGUUCAAUUUUACCUUUCCAAAAUUGUAAAGGACUAAACCGACAGUCUAAUCCAUUUGAAAUGAUGAUAGCUCAAAGCUACACAUACCACAUGCCUGACCAUUGUAACUAGUCAACAAAAUAUACCACUUACAGUUAAUGAGAUGAUGAGGAAUAUUCAGUAAUCUAGCUAGUAGUGCAAUUUUGUGAUCUUAGAAAUGAUGAUAUGUGAUAUAUGACUGCCACAUAUCAUGUAAUUUCUUGUUUCAAUUCGUUUGAGAAUGUCGAGAAUUAUGGUUUGGAUUAAUGUCGUUGGUAUAAGCACGUCCAAAAGUUAUAUAAAAAAUUCAACUUCCUUCCUCCUUGAAAGUAUUUUAUGAAAAAUAAACUAUGAUUUAUGUAUUUCUUUAUAAAACAUUAAAACACUAUUUCGGAAUAUAAAAAAAACUUUUGUAAUAUAAAUGUCAAAUAGUUAAAAUGAUUCACUUUUAAUAUUUGGUCAUUUUUGAUAUAACAUAUCAAUAACAUCAACGGCACAACUAUGAUAUAACAACGAAAUACUAAAAGUAAAUCAUUUUAACAACCGAAUGUCAAAAGUUGAUUAUUUCAGGAAAAAAAAACUCUAUAUAAAGCAAUUCGCACAUGGAAAAGUGACAUAUAAGAAAACCAUUUUUGUCUACCAUGACCAAAGGCCCCAAAUAGCCAUAUACGAGCAUUGUCUAAAAAUAAAGAUUUAGGGUAAUUAGCAAAAAACAGCUAUAAUUACUACUCACUCCCAAUCCGGCUUUUUUAAGGAUUAAAAAAAAUGAAAACUAAUGAAAAUAGCUUGAAAACUUUGAGUUUUAAUGAUAAGGACAAAAUAAAGGAUAAAGUAAAUAGUAUCAGGUUUGACUUUUUAGUGUAAAAAUGUGAUUUUUCGUUAAAGUGAACAGUACCGUGGGCUUUUCGUUAAAACUCCCUUAAAAAAAUUUAGAAGAAGGCAAGUGAUCAUUUACUACAGUGGUAGAAAGAUGUUGAGACCUUACAUAAUAGUGUGGGUUCAAAUCUCAUCGAUGAUUAAUUUAACAUCUAAUCUAACAAAAUCUAUCGUUUGACUAAAAAAAAUUCAGAAAAAGAAAAGUAUCUGUUGAAAUAAAAAAAUAGCACAAGCCAAGAAGGCAUCCAAAUCUGUUGCCCUCCUUGAUUGUUGGUUUGCUUUGCUAUUCUCUUCUUUCUUCCAACAGCAUCCGAUUUAAAAUUGCUCUUAUAUUUAUAGUACGUGUUUUUGAUUCGUCAAGCGCCGUAAUAUAUAUAUAUAUAUAUAUAUAUAUAUAUAUAUAUAUAUAUAUUGAAAAUCUUUGACACACAAUGCCACCUGACACACUCUUAGAAAGGAAACAAUUUAUAUUCAACAACCAUCGAUAUUACUUAUUUUACGUUGAUCUGUCUGAGUAUAUUCAGAUUGGAGGUUUUGGGGUACAGUCAUUAAGGAGAACUUCAUGUUGGGGCGACGGCUGGGAAGGUAGAUCUGCCUAAUGACGGAGGAGAAAGGUUCCUAGUUGAGAACAAUUGUUAGAAAGACGAAGACUAAGAGCACCAGUUUAUCUAGGGAUGAGAAAUGAACGAAAAAUAAAGGGAAUAACUUUUGGGUAUUCAUGAUGAGUUAGUUCCAAAUCCAGAAGAAGAAGACAGGGUGAGGAAGAGGGGGAAAAUAUUGUUAAAUUGUAAAUUUAUACAACAUGUGAAACCCGUACCUCGAAGAACUGGAAUACACCUGAAGAGAGCUGGAAACCAAUCCACCAGAAUGAACAAAUGCCAGAGCUAUUAAGGUUUUUAUUUGCAAACUGUGAGAGUGCUAGAGAGAAGCAGAAUGCAGAAAGGGGAGAGCUCAAGGGGUUUUAUACGCAAAGUGAAUGGAGAGGUAGUUCCUGCUAUAUUUUCAAGGAACAGGAGUGUUGUUAAUGAACAGUGUCGAUCAUGAACAGUGUCUGGGAUGAGACGGUUGGGAUGGUAGAUCUGCCUAAUGACGGAGGAGAAUGGAGGAGAAAGGUUCCUAGUUGAGAACAAUUGUUAGAAAGACGAAGACUAGGAGCACCAGUUUAUCUGGGAUGAGAAAUGAAGGAAAAAUAAAGGGAUUAACUUUUGGGUAUUCAUGGUGAGUUAGUUCCAAAUCCAGAAGAAGAAGAAGAAGACAGGGUGAGGAAGAGAGGGAAAAUAUUGUUAAAUUGUAAAUGCAUACAACAUGUUAAAUCCAUACCUCGAAGAACUGGAAUGCACCUGGAGAGAGCUGGAAACCAAUCCACCAGAAUGAACAAAUGCCAGAGCUAUUAGGGUUUGCAACAGUAAGAGAGCUAGAAAAGCAGAAUGCAGAAAGAGGAGAGCUCAAGGAGUUUUAAAAGCAAACUGAGUGGAGCCGGUAGGUCCUACUAUAUUUUCCUACUAUAUUUUCCUACUAUAUUUUCUAGGAGCAUGUGCAAGAGAAAUUUUAAAUUGUGAAAAAUCUCUCCAGGGGCAAGGGUUGCUUGAACGUCUAGUUGACCUUAUUUGUGAAAAUCAAUUGUGUUUUUUAUGGAUAUUUUUUAAGGAAAAAUCUUCUUGUAUUAUUCAUUUUAAAGAAAAAUCGUAUUUUUAUAUUAAAAAUUCAAUUAUGAUACUAUUCAUUUUACUCUUUAUUUUGUCCUUAUAGUUAAAACUCAAAGUUUUUAAACAUUUUUCAUUAGUUUUAUUUUUAUUUUUUAAGAUUUACUUAAUUUGAUUUCACCUUACACUAUUAUUACCAUUACCAUGUUUACCUCUAUAUUAACAUGAAACAAGCACCCUAUAAUAGCCUUAUGAAUACAAUUAAAGUUACGUGGUGAAUGGAUGUAUGAGGUGUUAAUUCACUUGUUUGUUUUAACCUAUUCACCGUGAACUUGUGCCUACAUGAAUGACGGUACAAGUACAACCUCAAAAAGAGCUACACCCUUUUAUUUGUGGAGUAGGAUUCUCUACCUUCAUAUCAUAUUCUCAUCUCCUUCCAUCCCCUCCUCUUACUCAUUGUAUUUUGUUUUAUUAUUUCUAUAAAAAAAUUAAUAUAAAAUGUUAACGUGGUUUAACCGUGACCGUUCAAAUAGAAUGAGAUGUAAGAAUAGAGAGAUUAUGAGGGUAGAGAAUCCUACUAUUUUAUUUGUUACAAUGUCUUUAUAAUUUAAUGCAACUUGCUUGGGCAACAUCCUUUAAAAAUAAUCAAUAAAGUGCCAAAUUUCGUCCGAGUCAGAUGCUUGGACGUAUCUAGAAGAGGGAUAACAAUCAAUUCCGGGAGACCCCAACGACUCGCUUAGGCAACAUCCUUAAUAAUAUCUUGACUUUUUUAUUUGUUAGUUAGGAAUGUUGAUUGAUUGAAGGAUUAAUUUAUCUGGGCGUGUGAGGGGAGGAUUUGGAUUCUCUUGGACUUUAGCACUUUCCGUUUUUUCCUUGUUUUUCUAAUCAUUUCAUCAUUUUCUUUCUUUUCCAGUUUUUUCUUAUCUAUCAAUCUUUUCCUGAUUUGUACAAAACUACAUUUGGAGAUGAUGAAUCAAUUUUUCACAUUAGUCUUGAAUUUUUUUGAGGAUUUUUCACAUAAGAAACAAGAAACUAAAAAGCCGAUUCGAGGUCUCAUUUUCCUUGUAGUAACUAAUUUGCCAUCUUCUUAGUCUUGCUAAUAUAGUGUUAAUUUCGUGAGCAUGCAUGAUCACUAGCUUGUUUGUUUGCAAACAAAUAAUUGAUUUGAUUGCUCUUGGAUUCUUUUGUCGAGUCUUGUGAACUUCCUUAUUCGUGAGCACGUGUCUUCCUGAUCAUGUCUACAGCCCAUGUUCCAAAUCCCACAGUCCUAAUUUCGUGAGCACGUGUCUUCCUAACCAUGUAUACAGCCUACAAAACAUUAAUUCAUCCAAAAAUAAAAAGACAUAUAUAAACGUCAAAAUUAUUAAGUGUCACGAAAAAUAAAUCCCAAAUUUUGUUAUAGAUUCGUAUUAAUUAGCUUGAUUGCAAAAGCCUCAUAUGUACCAAGUUUCGUUGCACUAAUAUGGAGAAUCACUUGGAGAUGUAACGGCAGCCCAAUUGCUUGGACAAUUCAGGUCCACCAACUGCCACUUGGGGCCCUCUGAAGUCGGUAACACUCCCUUCUGUAAUAAAUAAUGUGACUUUUUUGUGGCAUGAUCAUUGUCCUACCGAGCAUGUACGGACGGAGGGAGGUAAGGCACAGUGGUGGCGCAUGCCCCCUCUCUUUUAAAAAAAAAAUAAAUAAAUUACAAAUUACAAAUUAUUCAAUUAAUCAUUCUCAUUUUUUUUGCUUUGCAAAUUAUUCAAUUAAUUAUAUUAAAAUAGUGAAAAUCAUCUUUUAGUUUUUAAAUGUCCCUCCAUCUUGGAUAUUUUUCUCACGCACUAAUGUCUAAACCUUGUUGAGUUGCAUGUAUUUGGUUAAUUAGUACAAAUGAGCAUUAUAUUGUCAACAAUUAAAGACAAAAUUAGACAAUAGAGUAAUAAAAUUAGGCAUUUUGUAAUUAAUUUUUUCAACAUUUGUAAAAGAACUAGCUUUAUUUGUCCAAAAAAGGAGCUCAAAAUUUUUAAAGUGCCCCCUCUUAGUUAAAUUUCUGGCUUCAUCCCUGCUACCAAGUACUAUUGAAUUUUUCCAUAAAGUAAUGAUGAAGUAUUUGUUAGUUAGGAUUAAUUUAUGGGAGUUUUAACGAAAAGUCCGCAAUACUGUUCACUUUAACGAAAAACCACAUUUUUACUCUAAAAAGUCAAACCUGAUACUAUUCACUUUACCCUUUAUUUUGUCCUUAUUGUUAAAACUCAAAGUUUUCAAGUUUUUUUCAUUAAUUUUCCUUUAAUUUAUCUGGCGGUGUGAGUAGAGGAUUUGGAUUCUCUUGGUCUUGGCACGUUCAGUUUUUUCCUUGUUUUUCAAAUCAUUUCUUCAUUUUUUUUUUCUUUUCCAGUUUUUUCUUAUUUAUCUAUCUUUUCCCGAUCUGUUUAAUGUUAUUUUACAAAACUACAUUUGGAGAUGAUGAAUCAAUUUUUCACAUUAGUUUUGAAAUUUUUUUAAGGACUUUUAUGUCUUAUUAUCCUCUAGCUCUCUAGCUCUCUAGCUCUCCUACAGCGAAAGAAUUCAACACAAACAUCGAGUACAAAAUUUUAUAUUUUAAAAUACCCAAUCAAUAUUCCUAUACGUAUUCCAAUGAGGGCCCACGAACCUGGUGGCUUGACAGGGAUCUGGAUUGUCUGUCCUCCCCAUCCAUCAUUUUUCCAUGCAUUCCUAUUUGAACGAUCACGUUAAAUCAUUUUAAUAUUUUAUAUUGAUUUUUUUUAUAGAGAUAAUAAGACAAAAAGCAAUGGGAAUAUAAAAUGUUGAUGUUGCUUAACCGUGACCAGUUCAAAUAGGAGGGCAUGAGAAUGGAAUGGGAUGGAGGAGGGCAGACAAUCCAGAUCCGCUUGAGAGGAAUACAACAUUAGUUACUUGAAAAUAGUGAGAUUGAUACAACUAAUAUAUAGUAACGGAGAGCUUUAAUGAAAAUAAUUUAAGCUAAGUUUAUUUUAAUAAAAAUUAUCCUAUGAUUUUAUUUAAUGCAAACGGCUUGAGAUUUAAUAAAAAUGACAUAAUACAAUAUGAUAAAGAAAAAAAUUUAAAUCUGCAUAACUAGAAUACAGGCUCCAUCCCAUCAAUUAACCCACUAUAUUAUUAAGGGUUGGUUUGGUAUUGUUGUGCUUUGAAAAAAAAACUGUUUUUGCUAUGCUGUGAGAAUAAACAGUUGUGAAAUAAAACAGCAGAUUGUUUGGUAAACUUUUUUGUAAAAGUGCUUUUGAAUAAUAAAAAAAAAAAGCAGUAUUAGCCUUUGUUUGGUACUGAGGUGAUUUUGAAAAAAAAUGGCUAUCAAAAAAAGCUUGAAGCUUUUUUAUGUUUGGUAAACAUUCAACUUUAGCUUUUUUUCACCGUUUUUGGUAAAAAGGCCAAAAACACAAAGCUGCAAAACCCAACUUUGAAAAAUCAGUUUUUUUUCACAUCUGUUUUACAUAAAAGUUUAUCAAACACUAUAAUACUGUUUUUUUUUUUCAAAAGCACUUUUACAAAAAAGUUUACCAAACAUUCAGCUGCUUUAUUUCACAUCUACUUAUUCUCACAGCACAGCAGAAUCAGUUUUUUUCAAAGCACAACAAUACCAAACCAGCCCUUAUAGUGUUUGAUAAACUUUUAUGUAAAACAAAUGUGAAAAAAAGCUGGUUUUUGAAAAGGUGGGUUUUGCAGCCUUUAUGUUUUUUGGCUUUUUUUCCACCAAAAACUGUGAAACAAAACUGAAGCUGAAUGUUUACCAAACAUAAAAAAGCUCCAAGCUUUUUUUGAUAGCCAUUUUUUUUCAAAAUCACCUCAAUACCAAACCAGGAUUCAACAUGAAUGUGAUGAAGCUUCCAAUGCUCCACCAUCCUUAGCCACUCUUUUCUUUGCAUGGGUCCUAACCAAGGUUAUGACAAAAAACAUAUAUAAUAUUUAUUUAAGAACUUUAACGAAAAAUUUUCGGUACUGUUCAUUUUAACGAAAAAUCAUAUUUUUACACUAAAAAGUCAAUCUUGGUACUAUUCACUUUACCUUUUAUUUUGUCUUUAUCGUUAAAACUCAAAAUUUUCAAGUUUUAUUUAUUUAUUUAUGUAUUUUAUAUUAAUAUAUGGGGAUUCCAUAUUUAAUUUAUUAUGUAUACUUGUGAACAUGAAUGUCAACAUGUAUAUACACUGUCUAUUUCCUUUCAUUGCAGAUGCAAGUUUGUGCAGAAUCGCAGUAUUUAUCAAAAUAUUCUAUGUUUUCUGAAACAAAAAUACAAACCAUAAUUUUGCAUGAGAGAGAGGAGAGAUAAGAGAGGACUGAAAACUUCAUGUAAUUCUCCCUGAUAUUAUUCAUGAAGUUGAAUUUCAUGUUGUUAUAUAUGCCAAAUCGAAAGUAUCCAUCUAUAGAUUCUACUAUUAAAUAGCAACAUAUAAGAUUACCAUUUUGUAGAAAAAGACGGACGAACGAUAUUCAAGAAUCAAGAUUGGGUUAUUUUGUCAAAACUCUCUUUAUUUUGUUCAUUUUCAGAAAUAGUGUGGGUUAUUUUGGUUCAAUUUCAUAAAUAGUGCUGGUUAGUUUGUUGUAGUUUCAAAAAUAGUGUGAGUUAUUUUGGUUCUGUUUCAGAAAUAGUGUGUGUUAUUUUGUUGUUGUUUCAUAAAUAAUGUUUAUUUUUUCCUACCAAAAAUAAUGUGUGUUAUUUUGAUUCAGUUUCAAAAAUGGUGUAGGCUAUUUUGUUGUAAUUCCAAAAAUAGUGUGGAUUAUUUUCGUUCAGUUUCAGAAAUAGUGUGAGUUAUUUUGCUGUACUUUUAGAAAUUGUGUGGAUUAUUUUGGUUCAAUUUCUGAAAUAGCUAGGUUAUUUUGUUGUAUUUCUAGAAAUAGUUUUGAUUAUUUUGGUUCUAUUUCAUAAAUAGUGUAAAUUAUUUUACUGUAGUUUCAGAAACAGUGUUUAUUUAGUGCCGUUUCAGAAAUAAUGUGGAUUAUUUUGGUUAUAUUUCAGAAAUAGUGUGGGUUAUUUUGGUUCUAUUCCAAAAAUAGUGUGGGUUAUUUUGUUGUUGUUCCAAAACUAGUGUGUAUUUUGUUCCCUUCCAAAAAUAGUGCGAGUUAUUUUAGUUCAGUUUCAAAAAUAGUGUUUAUUAUUUUGUUGUAGUUCCAAGAAUAGUGUGGAUUAUAAAGUCCUUAGAUUCCUGCAAAUUGCAAUAUCCACCGUCAUGUGCAACUCUUUUUUUUUUCUUUACAACUUAUGAAAUUUAUGCAUCUAAUACUAAUAAUAAUAAGCUAUACAACUUAUCUUCCCCAAUUAUAUCCAACUAUAUGCUUUGCCAUUUUUUAUUGAUUUGAAAACAAUUUAAUAUUUUUUGUGGAUUUUCAAUGGCAUUUUUGUUAAUGGAUUUGUGCUAAAACAUUAAUUCAUCCAAAAACAAAUAGACAUGUAUAAACGUCAAAAAUAUUAAUUGCCACGAAAAAUAAAUCCCAAAUUCGUUAUAGAUUCCUAUUAAUUAGCUUGAUUGCAAAAGACUCAUAUGUAAGUUUCGUUGCACUAAUAUUAGAUCGCAUUCCAAGAAGCAAUUCAAGAUCGAAGUUGACGAUGAGGAGGUGCAUAAUCUCAUUUUAUUUUUAUGGAUGAGUUACUUUGCUAGCUAGCUUUUCAGUACUCUUGCAUGCUAUUAAAGUUGUUUCAUAUUUAUCGAAUAUGAUAUGGAGCAUCACCUGGAGAUGUAACGGUAGCGCAAACAACAAAGUUUAUUUAUUUAAUUUUUUUUUAACAAGUGAUAUUAUCUACAUUAAGGGUGAGGGGAUGGGCUUAACCUCACACUAGGCUAACAGCAAUAUGGUUCAAAUUCGUCUUUGGCGAGAAUCGAACAUGAGACCUCUCACUUACAAGUGAAGAGAAAUACUACUAGACCGUAGUACUAAGUAGCAACAACAAAGUUUAUUUGCCUGCGAUGUUUACCUUGUCAUGUUACUUUUUGCUUCAAUUCGUCUGAGAAUGUGAAGAAUUUUGGUUUGGAUGUUAAUGUCCUUGGUACAAGCACGUCCAAGAUUUUAUAAAAAAUUCAAGUUCCUUCUUGAAAGUAUUUUAUGAAAAAGAACCUACAAUUGGUGUAUUUUUUUACAACUAUAAUGUAACAAUGAAAUGCUAAAAGUAAAAUCAUUUUAGCAACCGAAUGUCAUAUAUAAGUAUGAUUUCAACCAAAAACUCUAUAUAAAACAACCCACACAUCGAAAAGUGACAUACAAGACAACCAUUGUUGCCUACCAUGGCCAAAGGCCCCAAAUAGCCAUAUACGAGCAUUGUCUAAAAAUAAAGAUUUAGGUUAAAGAAAAAAGCAGUUAUAUUUACUUUUUUUUUUUUGUCAAACGAAGCAGCUAUAAUUACUACUCACUGGUUACAAUUUUACAUUCACAUCCUGUUAUGCCAUAUAAAAGAAGGAAAUUUUAACAAAAAACUUCUGAUACUGUUCACUUUAACGAAAAAUCAUAUUUUUACACUAAAAAAUCAAUCCUGGUACUAUUCACUUUACCUUUUAGAGCAAGUCCACCGGAGUGGACUUUGCCCAGCACUCAGUCCAAAUAGCAGUCCAUGUCCAUGUCCAUGAUGAGUAUGUAAUUUUAUUUUGGUGUGCAUUUUUUUUUUAAGUUUAUUUGAAAUUUUAUCCAAAAUUUGUUAAAAAUCUUAUCCGAAAUAAACUUAAAAAAAAAAACACACACCAAAUAAAUGCGCUGGGUGCCAGUGCAUUUUUUUAGGGGUGAAAAUGCCUUGGCCUAUUACUGUUCACUUGAGUGGAUAAAUGCGCUGAAUGCUGGCGCAAAGUCCUUAGGGGUGAACUUCUCUUAUUUUAUCCUUAUAAUUAAAACUUAAAGUUUUCAAACAUUUUCAUUAGUUUCCUUUAAAAUAAUGAAUGUAGAGCGGGGUGCCGAGUGGGAUCAUAUAUGAUUAUUUUAUUAAGGAGAAUGGCAUCUUGUGUUUGCGUGUAUUUUUAUGUGUCGGUUGAAGUUUAUAUGCAAUCUGUAUGCCAUCCCAACAUAUAUAGGAUAUGGUCAUGCGUUUUAUUUUACAGUCAACAUUUUACCAAAAUGAAAAUUUUGCGGGAGAAGAAGAGAGGAGCUAGUAAUGUAUUGUACGAUUGGUCGCCUUUGUUGAGAAGCCUACGUUCCAAAUAAUUUUCACACUCCGUAUCUAUAUUUUAGAUUUGCAUACAGAAAGGAGAGGAGAACACACCUUUUACUGCAAAGUGAAACUCCUUUUGUUCAUCGCUUGUCUUAUAUGAGGGGGUUCUCUCAUGGUUGUAUCACCUAUCCUGUGCUUCUGACUACAGAUUUCUUCGUGUGCUUCUGACUGCAGAUUUCUUGUUCGUGAUGACAUGCCUCUUGGAGCUUUUGCCAAGUUUAUAGGGCGUCAACUCGAUAAAGUUCAUGUUCAACUGUAUUUCAAGAACAUUGUUGUUGUUGAUAAUUGCAAGUGUAUAAUAUCGUCUAAGUAAUAUAGUGAUAAGUAGAGUGUCGUUCAAACAAAGAUCGGAUUAACUUAUAUUUACUAUUGAGAUUGACUUCAAACUAAACUUAAAUAAAAGAGGGAUUAUGUUGACAAAUUCUAAGAUGCAAAGAAACCAAAUGAAAGUAAAAAUAACGACUGAUCGAGCACUAAAUAAAAAUGAAUGAAUUAUAAAAGAUUAAAAUAUGGAAGCACUAGGACAUCAGGUUCCUUAUUCUCAAUCCCAUCUAAUCCCGUUAUUCAUAUUAACAUCAAAUUAUUCCCAUGUUGCUAGCAAUUAUCCCUUGAUUCGUCAAUAUUUUCUGUCAGAAUAUACUAAUCGUGUUUCGAACUAUCUACCCAUGCUAUGUCUAGCCACAUAUAUAGAUAAUCAAAACCCUUUACGCUAAAUGGAUAAUUACAUGAUACUACACAAAUCAUAACCAAUAUAUCUAUUCAAUUAUGUAAUUUAUGGUAAUUGUUAUGAGAAGCAACCUACAAAACUCUACCUGUCAGUCACAAUUUAGUUAUUCACACAAAUAAUGGCCAGUUAUUUGAUAACAACGAAGCACAAUAACAAUUACUCAACAUGGAAAAUAACUGAGAUUAAUAUAAAAUAAUGAGAAUUAUAUGUUCAUGAUAAGAGUACACCCUAAUCCUAGCAAAAAGACUUAAUUCAUGAUUGAACUUAUGCCAAACAUGGAUGAAUUCAAUGACAUGCAAUAAAUCUUGAACUCCAACAUUGUUUUUGAAUGUGUGUAUGCGCUGUGGUGGUUUGAUCCUCCCCCAAAAAUCCUUGCGCCGCUGGGUUCUCCACCUUCCUUGCGGCACACCCUUAGGCUCUCCAAAAAAAACCUGAUUUUAUUCUCCCCCCUUCUGCCUCUCAAUAAGGGGAUUAAAAACCUUCUCAUUCUUGGAAAAGUCCAACGCCACUUUUUAUGAAGCCCAAAUUGGAUUUAAUUUGAUAAAGCCCAAAUUCCAGCACAAUUCUCACAAAGCAGCAGUCCACUUCGUUAUUCCAUGAUACUUUCUUUAUAAUUCUUCUUACAAAUCCACAUUUAUCUCCGACUAUUAUUUGUACAAAACUUACACAAAACACAUCAAACUCACCAAUUUAAUAUAAAAUCAUGACCAAAUAAUAAGUAAAAAAGGUAUAAAACAUGCAUAUAAUAUCACCCUAACAACUGUACCUCCUAAUGGUGAGCAGAGCUGCAUUUUUUUUCUUUUGUUUCCCAAAUUAUUUGUCAACCUUGUGACGUAGUAAUCUAAUUCUUGCACUGUUGCAGAGGCCUUGAUGUCUGAAUUUGAUGCGGAGAACAAGGGUAAAGAUGGAUUUCUUCACAUAACCUACACUGGCAAUGAGAAAGGAGACAGACUCUGAAUUCACUGAUGUGUUACCACCAGUAAGAGUUCCACUGAAUUAGAUACUUUUACUUCCUAGUCAGUAGGUGGACAUACCUCUGUUUUAAUUUGCGCCUCUAUGCAGAGGACUAAGAGUAGAGCUGCUGCAAAGAUUGACAUAAUUCCUGGCAGGAUCAAGAGGAGGAAGUUAGUUGUCGAUCCCUUGUGCUUUAUUUGUCUUAAAUUUGUUUGCUGCAAUGGAAAAAAGAUUGUUUCCUUUCCUUUUCCUUUAUGCUUGUAGGAAAAUCGGAAUAAUUUAGCUUUCAAAUUCAAUUGGUCAGGACUUGGAUCUAACGGAAAACGUGACACAGAACAGAGCGCAAUAGCGUUCUAGGAUGCUUUAAUCUACGCUUUUGAUAUUGUGUUCAGGAGUUUACCGGAGAUGUACACGGCACAUGAUGCAGAUGCUUGUAAAUUGUAGGUGGGGGAAACAGAUUAUUUACCUGUAAGGAUUUCACUUGGUCGAAUACGUCUGUUUCCUUCUACUGAUUCAUUGGAGGUAAUGCCAUGCUCUAAUUUGAGCCUCCUUGCAGGGGAGAAAGAGGAUGGAUGGAAGGUGUGGCAUUUGUGUGAUGAAGUUAGCAUCCACUUCCUUUUUGCUUCGAUUAUCUUGAUUUGCAUUGCAAUAAUAGAACGGGAGAUUUUAUCCCCUUUCUGUUAGGUAUUUCCAGAAUGAGAAUAGAACAGAUUGCUGUUUUUUUUAAUAUUUGUUUUCGAAAUAUUCUCAGGCCUUUUAUGGAGAAGCUCAAACCACUUGACGUAGAUGCUUGGAAAGUGAGGGAGAGGGGACCAGAUCAUAUACCGGUUAGAAUUCCGAUGCAUCGAAUAUGUUUAUUUCCUUCUAUGCAUUUCAUAUGAGAUAAAACAUGCUGUAAUUUAAGCCUCGAUGCAGGUGUGGGUGGAGAAGGAUGCAAGCAGUGACAUUCCUGACAUUGACAUGAAGAAGUUUGUUUCCGAUUCUUUUUUUCUUUGAUUAUCAUGAAUUGUAUUGCAAUAAUGGAAUAUGAUUUGACCUCCUCCGUCAUAGACACUAACAUAUACUUAUAUAUAUAGACACAUAUGCUUUUGGUAUAUCAUAUGUUACGUAAGCGAUCAGAAACAAAUAGUAUAAGCUUGUCUUGGAUGAAGGGGUUCACAUCUCACAUGUUGCAUGUCCUUUGUUUUUUCUUUUACUGCAGAUACAACGUCCAUCGCGAUAUGCCUCUCAGAGAAUUUGUUGAUUUUAUUCGGUUAAGGAUUCAGCAUGAAUCUCCAUGGAAGAAGUCUUUGUUUGUCUACCUCAUGAACACCGAGCUUCCCAUUGGUGAGUAACACAUUUUUGUUUUUAUGCCGGCAGUAAUGAUAUCCGUGUUUGUCCCGAGUUUGGUGCAGAGGUAGUGACUCUAAUUGUUCCAUUGCUGUUGCACAGGUACCACCUUGAUGUCCGAAGUUGAUGAGAAAAAAAAGGACGAAUACGGGUUUGUUCGCAUCACCUACAGUGGAGAAGAGAGAGGAGGCUGGAACCAUUGAAGAGCUCUGAGACAGUCGCUAUUCGGCCUCGUAGCUAUUAACUUCGGCCAUCGCAAUACAAAUCCUAAAUUGUUUUCUCAGUACAAGUAAUAUUCUACGAAACAUUUACAUUUUUCUUUGCUGGAAAACUCUUCAACCGCAGAAUGUUAAUUAUUCAUCUUCAACAAAAGAUAUAAAAAUAAUGUAUAUUUGUCUUUUGAUUUUACAUUUUUAGAUGGUCGGUUACACUAGUCAAAUGGAGAAAAUUAAUGUAAUCCUAAAUUUCUCUUUUACUUGAGUGGAACUUGUAUUUACAUUCCCUGAUAAGUAAAAAAAAAUGUAAAUAUAGUUUUUGCAUCUCAAAUUUGAUCUCACCAUUGGAUACCCUAAAGUCAAGUCAAGUGUGAGAGGGCACUCGAACUUGGUUGUGUAAGAGGAAUACAACAUUAGUACCUACCAUCGACAUAUAGUAACAUCUUACAUAUGUAUAUUGAUGAUAAAUUGUAGUAUGUAAAUCCGUAUACUACAUUCGCAUUUUAAGAAACACUUAAGUUUAAUGUACACAUAUCAAUAUUAUUUAUUUUUAAAACAUCAGCCUACUAUACAUAAGCAUAGCAUACACACGUAUUUACAUUUCAAAUCUUUUCAAAUUUCACAUUUUUCAAUAAUACGAAUAAAACUCACAUAGUAUGCAUAGAUUGCAUUUGGAGAGAGAGAAGGGGAAGAGUUUUGCAUUUAAUUCAUCGUAAGACCAACUCCAAGGACAAAACUCAAACUCAGAUAUUUGGGUUUAAACCCAAGAAAUGCAAUUCAAUGGAGUGACUUAAAUCCAAAAACAUUAAAUUUGGACCCAAACUAAAACCCAAAUUUGGCUGAACUAAAAAUUUUUUAGGCCACGCAUUUUAUCAAAAAGCAAUGGGUGGGGGAUGUGAUUAAGUGCCCAACAACUGGGCGCUAGCUGCAAAACAAUAAUAUUUUAAGGGAUUACGAGCCGUUUGAUUACUGGGCCGUUGGUGAUCAAUGGUCCAGAUUAAAAUCUUAUUUUUCUAGCAAUCUCUAGAUUUUGACCUAACGGUAUAUUUGUUUUUUCUUUUUUUCAAAUCUAACAGUAAAAAUAAUCUCACGAUCGAAAUUUAAAUCCAAUAGAAAGAAUUUAUUGUUGUUUGGUGAUUGCUUAGGUAGUUUUGACGGUAGAUAUUGAAGUUUGGUUAAUGUGUGUAUUGAAGUUUGGUUGGUGUGUGUAUUGAAGUUUAAUUGGUUGUUUAGGUAAUUUUGUCUGGUGGAUAUUGAAGUUUGGUUGGUUGAUUUGUAUAUUGAAAUUUGAUUGGUGUGUGUAUUGAAGUUUUGUUUGUGUGCGUCUAUUAAAGUUUGGUUGGUUAUUUAGAUCGUUUUGACUGAUGGAUAUUGAAGUUUGGUUGGUGUGUUGAUGGAAGUUUAAUUGGCUAGUUUAUAUAUUGAAGUUUCGUUGGUGUGUGUAUUGAAUCUUGGUUGAUUGUUUGUAUUUUGAAGUUUUAAUUAGCAAAUUUUGUUUGCGUUGCCGUUACAUCUCCGGGUUAAAAACAACUAGAACACGUACGAUAAAUAUGAAACAACAUUAAUGGCAUCCAAGAGUACUAAAAAACUAGCUAGCAAAUUAACUUAUACCUCCUCAUCGUCAACUUCGAUUUUGAAUUGCUUCUUGGAACUUCUUAUGCGACCAAAUGCGGGUGCAACGAAACUUAGUAAGAGUUUGGUACUUUUUUUUUUUUUUCUGUCAAGAAGUUAAAUAGUAUAUGAGUUGUUUUGUUUUGUUGUGACGAACUUAUUACUAGGAGUUAUCAGUUUGGGACUAAAUAUUUUGUCUGCGUUAACUUCUUUUUAACAUUACAACAACAACAAAGCCUUUUCCCACUAAGUGGGGUCGGCUAUAUGAAUCCUAGAACGCCAUUGCGCUCGGUUUUGUGUCAUGUCCUCCGUUAGAUCCAAGUACUCUAAGCCUUUUCUUAGAGUCUCUUCCAAAGUUUUCCUAGGUCUUCCUCUACCCUUUCGGCCCUGAACCUCUGUCCCGUAGUCACAUCUUCGAACCAGAGCGUCAGUCGGCCUUCUUUGCACAUGUCCAAAACACCGGAACCGAUUUUCUCUCAUCUUUCCUUCAAUUUCGGCUACUCCUACUUUACCUCGGAUAUCCUCAUUCUCAAUCUUAUCCUUUCUCGUGUGCCCACACAUCCCACGAAGCAUCCUCAUCUCCGCUACACCCAUUUUGUGUACGUGUUGAUGUUUCACCGCCCAACAUUCUGUGUCAUACAACAUCGCUGGCCUUAUUGCCGUCCUAUAAAAUUUUCCCUUGAGCUUCAGUGGCCUACGACGGUCACACAACACGCCGGAUGCAUUCUUACACUUCAUCCAUCCAGCUCGUAUUCUAUGGUUGAGAUCUCCAUCUAAUUCUCCGUUCUCUUGCAAGAUAGAUCCUAGGUAGCGAAAACGGUCGCUUUUUGUGAUAUUCGCUAGAUUGCUCCGGUCAUUAGUGUGGAUAAGUAUAUAAAUGGAUAGAGAUAGGAAAGCAAACACAAGAUGUACGUGGUUCACCCAGAUUGGCUACGUCCACGGAAUAGAAGAGUUCUCAUUAAUUGUGAAGGGUUUACACACAAGUACAUAGGUUCAAGCUCUCCUUUAGUGAGUACAAGUGAAUGAUUUAGUACAAAUGACAUUAGAGUACAAAUGACAUUAGGAAAUAUUGUGGGAGAAUGAUCUCGUAAUCACGAAACUUCUAAGUAUCGGAGUGUGGUAUCAUCUUGACUUGCCUUAUCUGUCUCAUAGGUAGAUGUGGCAGCUUCUCUGGAAGUACUCUUCCUCCAUCCAGGGGUGGUAUCUUUAACUGGUGGAGAUGCACAAGGUAAUGUAUCAAUUUCACUUGAAGCUUACUUGUAGUUUCAGGCUUGGUCAAGCGCGAUACAAACCAUGUAGUAGGAGUCCCCCAAGUCGCCGAGCUAGGGGAUCUGCUGAAAGAGGUGACAGACAAGGUAAGCAAUCAGAGCUCCGGCUGAUUGUUCACCUUAUCCCCAUCUUGCAGCAGCAUGAAGGAUAAAGAGAAGAAAAAUGAGAAGAGAUGAUAUGGGAUACUUUUGCUUUUGAAGAAGUAACUUUCCACAGGCUUAUUCUUGAACUGAGCUGGAGGGUUUUCUGGUUUCCUCCAGAGUAUAAGGCCGACUGAAGAAUUUGAGGGUCAAAACAAGUCCAUCAAAUCUAGAGUACGUUCGACCCUGCUGAUAUGGGAUACUUUUGCUUUUGACAGAGUAAUGGAAGUAUCGGCACGUGUGCUGUUCCGCUUGUCUCUACAUGCUUCCUUGUAUCCUUCGCACUUGCCCUAUCUGUUCCUCAAGCAGAUGCGGUAUCUUCCCUGGAAACAUAAACUGUUGAAGAUGAGUACUCGAGAGCAAUGCCAGGUAAGUAAUCAGGUAAGGGGUUCCAGGCAGUCAGUUCCUGGCUGGGAGCUUGAUUUCAAGUGCUGACUGAUUGCUCUCUUUCUCCUUGUCUUGCAGGUAAAAACAAGGCCAAAGGAAAAGACAGGGAAAAAGCAUGAUAUGGGAUACUCUUGCUUUUAACCCUGAUGAUAUGAGAUAUUCUUGCUCUAGUAUAGCUUGUUUGCAGAGGUAUUAUCGGGGGGAAAGAAAGCUGAAUAUUUCGAAAGGCUUCGUUGGGAGUGCCCUCUCAGAUAUGAGGAAGGGUUGAGCAUUUUUGCAGGUCUGCCUGUCCGUUGGGGAUGGAGGUCGACAUAUAUAGGAGUCUCCCUAACAACAAGUAGUAAUGUUAUUCCUUUACCCUGCUUGGUCAUAGCACGGUAGUGGGAGCUGCCAGCUUCCCAUGUUUUAACUCUGUCAGAGCACUUUGAAAAAGUGGUAUGUGGUAUCUGGCUCUCGAGAUUCGGAAAACGAUGCUUCUUCGAUUUUUGAGAAAGCAAUCAUGCUGGGGGUCUGGCUCUCGAGAUUCGGGGAGCAGUGUCUUCGAUUUUUGAGAAAGUAAUCAUGUUGGGAGUCUGGCUCUCGAGAUUUGGAGGGCGGUGCCUCUUCGAUUUUGGAGUAAGCAAUCUUGUUGGGAGUAUUUUCUCGGAUGUGAGUAAAGGUUGGGCAUGUUUGCUAGUCUACCUUGCCACGAAGCACGGAGGUUGACACACAGGGACUUUCCAAUUAUCCAGCAGUGGUACUGUGCCUUUACCCUUGUGGGUAAUAAUAUGGUAGCUAGACCUUCAAAAUUUAUGUGUCUAAACUUUGUUAGUGCUGUUUCUUUGCUAUUCUUUUACCUUUCUUGGUCAGAGCGAUGUAGUGGGAGCUGCAAGCUUCACGUGCUCAACUUUGGCAGAGACUUUGGCAAAGUUAUCUGUGGUACCCAUGAGCUAUUGUUGCGUGUGGGAAGUGGGUGAUUGAACAGUAAGAUUCAUGUGCUUUCUACUUCACCAGAAGUCUUCGACAGAAUGCCCAUAAUUUCCGCAAAGCUGAGUGUGCGUGUGACAGGUGCUGACAAGGCUAGAAAAGUAGGUGCCUCUUCGAUUUCUGAGAUCGGCCCUCGUGGUCUCUGAGCAGCCCAGCUUUUGAGAAAGCGAGCGCCUCUUCGAUUGAUUCGGAGAACGAUGCCUCUUCGAUUUUUGAGAAAGCAAUCAUGCUGGGGGUCUGGCUCUCGAGAUUCGGGGAGCAGUGUCUCUUCGAUUUUUUUUAGAAAGUAAUCAUGUUGGGAGUCUGGCUCUCGAGAUUCGGAGGGCGGUGCCUCUUCGAUUUUGGAGCAAGCAAUCUUGUUGGGAGUGUUUUCUCGAAUGUGAGUAAAGGUUGGGCAUGUUUGCUAGUCUACCUUGCCACGAAGCACAGAGGUUGACACACAGGGACUUUCCAAUUAUCCAGCAAUGGUACUGUUCCUUUACCCUCUCUUCGAUUUUUGAGAAAGUAGUCAUGUUGGGAGUCUGGCUCUCGAGAUUCGGAGGACGGUGCCUCUUCGAUUUUGGAGCAAGCAAUCUUAUUGGAGUGUUUUCUCGAAUGUGAGUAAAGGUUGGGCAUGUUUGCUAGUCUACCUUGCCACGAGGCACAGGGGUUGACACACAGGGACUUUCCAAUUAUCCAGCAGUGGUACUGUUCCUUUACCCUUGUGGGUAAUAAUAUGGUAGCUAGACCUUCAAAAUUUAUGGGUCUAAACUUUGUCAGUGCUGUUUCUUUGCUAUUCUUUUACCCUUCUUGGUCAGAGCGAUGUAGUGGGAGCUGCAAGCUUCACGUGCUCAACUUUGGCAGAGAACUUUGGCAAAGUUAUCUGUGGUACCCAUGAGCUAUUGUUGCGUGUGGGAAGUGGGUGAUUGGACAGUAAGAUUCAUGUGUUUUCUACUUCCCCAGAAGUCUUCGACAGAAUACCCAUAAUUUCCGCAAAGCUAAGUGUGCGUGUGACAGGUGCUGACAAGGCUGGAAAAGUAGGUGCCUCUUCGAUUUCUGAGAUCAGCCCUCGUGGUCUCUGAGGAGCCCAGCUUUUGAGAAAGCGAGCGCCUCUUCGAUUUCUGAGAUCGGCUUUCGUGGUCUUUGAGCAGCCCAACUUUUGAGAAAGCAAACACCUCUUCGAUUUAUGCGAUCAACCCUCGUGGUCUCUAAGCAGCCCAGCUUUUGAGAAAGCAAACGCCUCUUCGAUUUCUGAGCAGGCGCCUCUUCGAUGUCUGAAGCUCCGUCGAGUGCAGCUUUUUAUAGGGGCUGGCAUUAAGUUCCAAAGCACACUUGAAUCUCCACCAGUAGAAGCUCCAUUCUUGCACUUCUAAGAUCUUGAUUUGUCCGACCUCUUCUCUCUUCAACACCUUUGAAAAUGUCUGGCCCCUCCGACCGUCGUUUUGACUUGAACCUUGUUGAAGAGGCAGCCCCGCCUUCUCCAGACAACAUAUGGCGCCCAUCCUUCGUCUCCCCUACUGGUCCUCUUACCGUUGGGGAUUCCGUGAUGAAGAAUGAUAUGACCGCUGCGGUGGUGGCCAGGAACCUUCUCACUCCCAAAGAUAACAGACUACUUUCCAAACGGUCUGAUGAGUUAGCUGUUAAGGAUUCGCUGGCUCUCAGUGUUCAGUGUGCAGGUUCUGUGUCUAAUAUGGCCCAACGCCUAUUUGCUCGAACCCGCCAAGUUGAAUCAUUGGCGGCCGAAGUGAUGAGUCUCAAACAGGAGAUUAGAGGGCUCAAGCAUGAGAAUAAACAGUUGCACCGGCUCGCACAUGACUAUGCUACAAACAUGAAGAGGAAGCUUGACCAGAUGAAGGAAACUGAUGGUCAGGUUUUACUUGAUCAUCAGAGAUUUGUGGGUUUGUUCCAAAGGCAUUUAUUGCCUUCGUCUUCUGGGACUGUACCGCGUAAUGAAGCUCCAAAUGAUCAACCUCUGAUGCCUCCUCCUUCUAGGGUUCUGUCCAGUACUGAGGCUCCGAAUGAUCCCCCUCCGAUGCCUUCUCUUUCUGAGGCUCUACCGACUGCUGAGACUUCUCCUAAGCAACCUUUGUGAAGGCUCCAUCUUGUUUGUUUAUUUUGACUCAUGUAUAUGUACAUAUUUGUAGCUUAUCGAGGAUAUCAAUAAAUAAGCUUUUCUUCAUUUCAACGUAUUGUGUUAAAUACACCAAAGCCUUCUUCGCUAAGUUCUUUGAAUUUUCUUUUGUUGAAGCUUGUAUGUUGAAGCUUUCUGAGUGGAGCAUGUAGGUUGGGGUAGUGUUCCCUUAAUUUUCCGAGUGAGGAAAACUUCUCGGUUGGAGACUUGGAAAAUCCAAGUCACUGAGUGGGAUCGGCUAUAUGAAUCUUAGAACGCCAUUGUGCUCGGUCCUGUGUCAUGUCCUUCGUUAGAUCCAAGUACUCUAAGUCUUUUCUUAGAGUCUCUUCCAAAGUUUUCCUAGGUCUUCCUCUACCUCUUCGGCCCUGAACCUCUGUCCCAUAGUCGCAUCUUCUAAUCGGAGCGUCAGUAGGCCUUCUUUGCACAUGUCCAAACCACCGUAACCGAUUUUCUCUCAUCUUUCCUUCAAUUUCGGCUACUCCUACUUUACCCCGGAUAUCCUCAUUCCUAAUCUUAUCCUUUCUCGUGUGCCCACACAUCCAGCGAAGCAUCCUCAUCUCCGCUACACCCAUUUUGUGUACGUGUUGAUGCUUCACCACCCAACAUUCUGUGCCAUACAGCAUCGCCGGCCUUAUUGCCGUCCUAUAAAAUUUUCCCUUGAGCUUCAGUGGCAUACGGCGGUCACACAACACGCCAGAUGCACUCUUCCACUUCAUCCAUCCAGCUUGUAUUCUAUGGUUGAGAUCUCCAUCUAAUUCUCCGUUCUUUUGCAAGAUAGAUCCUAGGUAACGAAAACGGUCGCUCUUUGGUAUUUCUUGAUCUCCGAUCCUCACCCCUAACUCGUUUUGGCCUCCAUUUUGCACUGAACUUGCACUCCAUAUAUUCUGUUUUUGAUCGGCUUAGGCGAAGACCUUUAGAUUCCAACACUUCUCUCCAAAUGUUAAGCUUUGCAUUUACCCCUUCCUGAGUUUCAUCUAUCAACACUAUAUCGUCUGCGAAAAGCAUACACCAAGGAAUAUCAUCUUGAAUAUGUCCUGUUAACUCAUCCAUUACCAACGCAAAAAAGGUAAGGACUUAAGGAUGAGCCUUGAUGUAAUCCUACAGUUAUGGGAAAGCUUUCGGUUUGUCCUUCAUGAGUUCUUACGGCAGUCUUUGCUCCUUCAUACAUAUCCUUUAUAGCUUGGAUAUAUGCUACUCGUACUCCUUUCUUCUCUAAAAUCCUCCAAAGAAUGUCUCUUGGGACCCUAUCAUACGCUUUUUCCAAAUCUAUAAAGACCAUGUGUAAAUCUUUUUUCCCAUCUCUAUAUCUUUUCCAUCAAUCUUCGUAAGAGAUAGAUUGCCUCCAUGGUUGAGCGCCCUGGCAUGAACCCGAAUUGGUUGUCCGAAACCCGUGUCUCUUGCCUCAAUCUAUGCUCAAUGACUCUCUCCCAGAGCUUCAUUGUAUGACUCAUUAACUUAAUACCCCUAUAGUUCAUGCAAUUUUGUACGUCGCCCUUAUUCUUGUAGAUAGGCACCAAAGUGCUCGUUCGCCACUCAUUUGGCAUCUUCUUCGUUUUCAAAAUCCUAUUGAAAAGGUCAGUGAGCCAUGUUAUACCUGUCUCUCCCAAAACUUUCCACACUUCGAUUGGUAUAUCGUCUGGGCCUAUUGCUUUUCUAUGCUUCAUCUUCUUCAAAGCUACAACCACUUCUUCUUAACAUUAUGUUGUCAAAAAUAUUUUGUGAACAUUUUGACAAAAAAUAAUUCAAAUUAUGAUACUAAAUUCUUUUCUUCACAAAGAAACGUAACUAGAAUGACUACAUUAUUGGAUUAUAUCAUGCCUAUGUCAUGGCUCUAUUAUUGGACUAUGUUAUAAUCCAUUAUUUAUGAUCUAUAUAAGAUUUCAAUUCUUUGCAAGCGUUGGAUCAGAUUUUCUUAUCUUAAUCUCACCCUCAGAUUUUCAUUAAUCUUUUUAUCCUCUCAAUAUAAAAAGAGGUCUCUAUAUAUCUAUCACAUUCAUCAUAUUUUAUCCAUUCCAUUUUCCUUGUAUGAAACGAAAUCCUGCAAUGGUGUCGUUGAAUGUUUGCAAACAACCCAUGGAUUUUACCUGAAAGGUGCUCGUGUGGCCCUUAGUCAAGCUCUGGUAAACUUGAGUCUUGAUCUUCUUCAGAAAAUGGGAUAUAUGGAACUGCAGACCCCAUUUUUCAAGAGCAAAGAUAUCAAGUGAAAGAGUGCUCAAAACUGUUUAUGGGGCCAUAUAGAGUUCGUUACAAUCCAUGCUUGUGUUUUUUUAAGAUUGAUGUUUGUGUGAUUGAACAUUCUUUUAGUUAUGAUACUGCCAAGCUAAUCUCUGUCAUUGUUCAGAGUCUUCCUUUAAAUUAGAAUAGUUAGAAUAUUUCAUUUAUUUUUUGUCUUUUAUACUGGAUACACUUGCAUUCUUAUGAAAAAUUACAUAUUUAUUCACAUAAAUAUUACAUCAGGUGCUUCAUACAUAUCUUCAGAAUUCUUCUACUUUGCAAUCGUUUUUGUCACCUAAUUCCAGCAAAUACUAGCAUCUCAGAAAACAACUUAAUAAUAUGUAAGAUUGACUCAAAUUGUCACGCAAGGGGCUGUAGCGUCACCUUUGCUUGUACAAUUAACUGGACCCUUUUACUUUACAUUUUGACAUUAUAUUAAUGUGUCCUUGUUCAUGAUCUGAGAUUAUUUUAUUUAUUUUUAUUUCAUAUUAGGCUAAGAGGAUGCUCAAAAAUCUUCUUCUGAUAUGUGAUGAUUUUUAUGCACCAUUUACCCCUGCUUUUUAUAAAAGAAAGUUGAAUAGUUUUUAUGAAUCUGAUGAAUGUAGAUGAUUCAAUUCUAAGUUUGAUCAAUUUGUAUUUUAUCACUUUCAGUCACAGCAAAUCAAGAGCCAGCCAAAUGGCCAUGUCUAUGGCCAAAGGGGCCAUGACCAUAGGAGAGAUGAGGUUGUUGCUGCUCCAGGAGCGCCUGAUAGAGUAUAGAAAUUGAUGUAUAGGAUGAUGACAUGUGUAAUUAGAUUAGAAGAUGUGUUAGUUAAGACAGUUAGCCUUGUUGUUGGAAGUGUAUAAAUAUAUCAACCUCUUGUAUUACUUGGUGACUACGAAAUAUAUCAAGAACAUUCAUUCUCUCUCUCUCCUCUCUGAGUUGUUAUCUCUCUCUAGAAUUUCUGUAUACAAUUUCAUAGAUUUAGUUACAUUUACAUGGUAUCACUCGCCUUUGUUGCCUGCGCUUGAUCUUCGAUCCUCCUUUUCUCCUUUUCUGCUUCCACUCGCCUUUGUUGCAUGCGCUUGAUCUUGUAAAUUUGUCUUCGGUAUCUUCAAUUCUCUUCGUCUUCUUGAAAUCCUGAGUUCUAGGGUUUUUCUUGGUUGAUCGUCUUCAUGCGUCGAUCAUUUCUUCUGCUCUUUUGGUUAGUGCAUACCACCUGUUUGCUAAAAGUUCUCACUGAGUUUGUUUGCAGCAAUUUCAAUGGUGACUGCAUCGCAACUUCAACUUGUGCAAUCCCCGAUUACUGCCCUAAUCUCCUCCAUUUCGACUUCGGUGAAUGUCAAAUUGGAUGACUCUAACUAUCUUAAUUGGCACUUUCAGAUACAACUCUUGUUGGAGAGCAAUGGAAUUAUGGGAUUUGUUGAUGGCUCACAUCCCUGUCCUUCUUAAUUUUCCCAUCACUCUGGUGUCUCUGGUAUGAACUCUAGCUCUAAUGCUUCUGUUGCAACGGAUGAGUUUAUGAUUUGGAAAAUGCAUGAUAAGGCUGUAAUGCAACUGCUAACUGCUACCCUUUCGCCUGCUGCUCUAUCAUGUGCUAUUGGUAGUAAGAGUUCUCAGGAUAUAUGGAUUCGUUUGAAAGAACAAUUAUCUACUGUGUCUAAGACUAGUAUCUUUCAAAUGAAAUCUAAUCUCCAAACAAUUAAGAAGGGUUCUGAUUCUGUGUCCCAGUAUCUUUAUAGGAUAAAAGAGGCUCGGGAUUACUUAUCUGCUGCUGGAGUUCACUUUGCUGAUGAAGAUAUUGUUAUCCUUGCUCUCAAUGGUUUACCCUCUGAAUAUAAUACUUUUCAGUGUGUCAUUAGAGGUCGUGAGAAUGUGAUAUCUCUUAAAGAGUUUCGAUCUCAGUUGCUUGCUGAAAAGAUUAUUGUUGAGAAUUCUACCACUGCACCAUUUAUUACUGCAAUGGUUGCAAACAAUGUUUCGCAUUCCGGAAAGGGUACAUCUGGUCAGUCUCAAUUUUUCUCUGGCGGUUAUAAGACGUUCAAUGGCAACAGAAACAAAGGAAAAGGCAAGUUUAAUCAAGGGUUUCGGUCUUAUCCACCCAAACUGUCUUUUUCCACUCAAACACAUGUGCUACCAACACCUACCAACACCGAAUCCGGGCAUCCUUGGUCACUCCCUAGUGCAGUCUUAUGGCAAUUCAAGUGCUCCCUUGGUGCAAACCUGUCAACUUUGUAAUGCUGAAGGACACACAGCACCAUUCUGCCGUCCUAACCCUUAUAACAGAGCUAAUUGUCAAAUUUGUGGCAAGCACAAUCACAGCACAUGGUAUUGUUUUUAUAAUGACAAAGGUCCUAAUUUUGUUGGUGCUACCAGUCAGUUUUAUCCGUCUCCGAUGAAUUCCUCAAACUUUGGUGCUCCCGGUUACAAUGCUUCUAGUCAGCAAUCUGCAAUGACUGGACAUCAAUUCUAUCCUCAGCAUCACUCUCCUCAAGCUCUGCAUACUGUGAUGACUCCGUCACCUUUCGUGACAUCUCCUUCUCACUCUAAUCCUCAAGUAUGGCUCACUGACUCUGGUGCUACAAAUCACAUGACUUCGGAUCUCAGCAACUUAUCUUUGGCAUCUCCAUACCCUACCUCUGAGAUUGUCCAAACUGCCAAUGGUGAAGGUUUGCCUGUAUCUCAUAUUGGAAGUACUGUUCUUAAUCUUUCCACAGUUAAUUUUGUUCCUCCAAUGAAGCUCAAUUCUGUGUUAUAUGUUCCGAAGUUAACACAAAACUUAUUAUCUGUGCAUCGGAUCUGUUUGGAUAACAAUUGCUGGAUAAUUUUUUAUGCUUUUUGCUUCUGGAUUCAGGACAAGGCCAUAGGGAGGAUCAUUUACAAAGGAGUAUGCAGUAAUGGUCUAUACUCAAUUCCCUGUCUUUCAACCGCUUCUCAUGGAUCCACCUCAGUACCGUUCCAAGCUCAAGCUCUUCUUGGUCAGCACAUUCACUCUACUACUUGGCACAAUAGACUAGGCCAUCCAUCUAAUUCUAUUGUCUCUUUGAUGUUAAAACAAGCUCAUAUUUCCUGUCCAAAACCAUCCUUACCUGUAAUGUGUUCUAGUUGUUUGGAGGGAAAGUUUUGUAAAUUUCCUUUUCCUCUAAGUCCCAAUAAGUCUAUAAAACCCUUUGCUCUAGUUCACAGUGACCUUUGGGGUCCAGCCCCUUCUGUUUCUAUUGAUGGUUACAAGUAUUAUGUGACCUUUAUUGAUGAGUGUACAAGAUACUGCUGGAUUUUCCCAUUAAUAAAUAAAUCUGAUGUCUUUGCCAAAUUUCUUGCAUUCUAUUCCUUUGUUGUUACUCAGUUUGCAACUCCUAUUCAAACUCUUCAAAGUGGUGGGGGGGAGAGUAUGUCAGUAAAGCAUUUUAGUCAUUUCUUCUUGCAAAAGGCAUUACACAUCAUAAAUCCUGUCCAUAUACACCUGAGCAAAAUGGCCUAGCUGAGAGAAAGCAUAGGCAUAUCAUUGAAACAACGGUGACCCUUUUACAAACUGCUAGAUUACCUGCCAUGUUUUGGUCCUAUGCUUGUCAAACCGCCAUAUACCUCAUCAAUAGAAUGCCCACUCCUGUCCUAGGCAAUCAUUCUCCAUUUGAACUAUUGUUUGGGCUUCUGCCUGUCAUUUCCCACCUUAGAUCAUUUGGAUGUGCUUGUUAUCCGUUAUUAAAGCCUUAUAAUGACUCUAAGCUGCAACCAAAAACCACUAAGUGUAUUUUCCUGGGGUAUGCUACCAACUAUAAAGGGUAUCUAUGUUAUGAGGUUUCUAAACAAAGACUAUACAUAUCACGGCAUGUAGUGUUUGAUGAGUCUCAAUUCCCAUACACAGACUUAUUGGUCCAUCAUAACUCCUCACACCUUAGUUCUACCAUCCACAGUCCAGUACCUAUUGUUUCCACUGAUAAUGUUGUGGUAUCUAUGCCUAUUGUUCCCAUAACAUCACCAUCACAUCCUGCCUCUUCUAAUUUGCUUGGUUCUCCUACCAUAUCACUCUCUCCAAUUACAUCAUCACCACUAUCCUCUCAAUCCAUUACUGCUUCUACUACUUCUCAACCUCCUGUGGCACUUGUCAAUGGUUCUCCUCAGUCUCAAGUUCCAGCAGUACAAUUUCAUCCUGAUACUUUGUCAGUGGUCCUGGAGGUUCCACCACUCAAUUUACAUCCUAUGCAAACUCGGAGCAAGAGUGGCAUUAUCAAGAAAAGAGCUUUGUUAGCUACUGUUCAGGAAUCUGAGGGUACUGAUUUGUCUCUUAUUGAACCAACUUCCUAUAAAUCUGCACUUAAGAAUCCAAUUUGGUUUAAGGCUAUGCAAGAGGAAAUCAGUGCUUUGCAUACACAAGGUACCUGGAAUCUGGUGGUCUUACCUUCCUCAAAGAAUUUGGUGGGGUGCAAGUGGAUCUUCAAGAUCAAGAGACAUUCUGAUGGUACAAUUGCACGGCAUAAAGCUAGAUUAGUAGCUAAAGGGUUCAGUCAAGAACCUGGAAUUGACUAUGGGGAAACGUUCAGUCCUGUGGUUAAACCUACAACUGUUAGGUUAGUAUUGGCUCUUGCAGCUCAGUUUGGUUGGUCCCUUCGACAACUCGAUGUCAAAAAUGCCUUUUUACAUGGCAUUUUAGAAGAAGAAGUGUACAUGGCUCAGCCUCCUGGGUUUGAAGAUGUUCAUCAUCCUCACCUUGUUUGCAAACUGCACAAAUCCCUAUAUGGACUCAAGCAAGCUCCCCGAGCUUGGAAUGAUAGAUUCACAAAAUUCCUGCCUCAUUUGGGGUUUCAAAACACUUAUUUGGAUUCCUCUUUGUUUGUCAAAAAUGUUGAUUCUGGUAUUGUCAUUCUCCUACUCUAUGUGGAUGAUAUUAUCAUCACAGGGAGUGCAUCUGCAUCCAUACAACAGGUUAUUACUGCAUUGACAACUGAGUUUGACAUCAAGGAUUUAGGGGAUUUGCAUUUCUUUCUUGGCAUUCAAAUUUCACGAAUUGCAACUGGUUUAUUCUUGUCUCAAUCGAAAUAUGUGUUGGAUCUUCUCACCAAAACAGAUAUGCUCGAUGCAAAACCUUGUGACACUCCUUGUUUGCCGUAUAACAGGCUUCUCAAGGAUGAUAGUGAUCCAUAUACCAAUCCUACUUUGUACAGAAAUGUGGUAGGUGUUUUGCAGUACCUUACGUUUACAAGGCCGGAUAUAGCAUUCUCUGUCCAUCAAGUGGCUCAGUUUAUGCAAUCACCUAUGGUUGCCCACUUUACCGCAGUUAAACGAAUCUUGAGGUACUUAAAAGGAACCCUUCGUCAUGGCAUCAGUUAUUCUCGAGGAUCGCUUCAAUUAAAGGCCUUCAGUGAUGCUGACUGGGCAGGGGACCCUAAUGACCGACGGUCGACCACUGGCUUGGUUGUGUUUUUAGGGAAUAGUCUUAUUUCCUGGUCAUCCAAGAAGCAACUGACAGUCUCCCGAUCUUCUACAGAGGCCGAAUACCGUGCCCUGUCAUCCACAUCUGUAGAAUUGGAAUGGAUCCAGCAACUGUUAGUCUUCUUGCAGGUUCCUUUAUCCUCUACACCUGUGUUGUUUUGUGAUAAUUUGUCGGCCAUUGCGUUGUCUUUUAAUCCAGUUCAACAUCAACGCACUAAACACAUUGAGAUUGAUGUCCAUUUUGUGAGGGAACGAGUGGCAAAUAAGCAACUCUCUGUGCAGUUUGUGUCGUCCAAAGAGCAGUUUGCUGACAUUCUGACUAAAGGCUUGAGUUCUCCUUUAUUUCAUACUCAUUGUACCAAUCUCAUGCUUCGUGCAUCCCAGCAUGAGUUUGCGGGGGGAUGAUAGAGUAUAGAAAUUGAUGUAUAGGAUGAUGACAUGUGUAAUUAGAUUAGAAGAUGUGUUAGUUAAGACAGUUAGCCUUGUUGUUGGAAGUGUAUAAAUAUCUCAACCUCUUGUAUUACUUGGUGACUACGAAAUAUAUCAAGAACAUUCAUUCUCUCUCUCCUCUCUGAGUUGUUAUCUCUCUCUAGAAUUUAUGUAUACAAUUUCAUAGAUUUAGUUACAUUUCCAGCGCCAACCCCUUCUUCUCCUAUGGCCAUGGCUCUAGACCUCCUCUCCUCUUUCUGCUUGAUCAUGAUAAUUGACGUGUAUUUAGCAUGGUCAACAAAGAGGACUUCGAGCGGGUUAAAGCCAGAACUACUAGGUGUGUUAAGAUUGUAUUCAUAUACAUACAAGAUAUUAGAGUGGUUCAACUUUAAUUGUACUGCUUUCACUUAGUAGUAUACUUUGUAUUGGUUUUGAUAAAAAAAAUUUGCAAAAAGUUGGGCGCACUCUAAGAUGUUAAUUAUCUUGAAAUUUAAAGCCUCUAAAACUUCAUAACGGAGAUCAGUUUUAAAUGAAAAUGGCUUGUUUAUGUAGACUUCGCAAUUAACUUAUAAUUUGAUUUCAUAUGUUGAAACAUUAGGGUUAUGUAUUGACGAUGGUAAGUAAUGGCAUAGAAGAGGAAUAUUAGCAACUUUCUCUUUUUGUACCUUUGCUUUUUACAUUUUAUAUUUAUUUUUAAGAUCAUAUAAUUAAAUUGUUAUUUAAUACUACGAUCUAAUGGUAUUCUUCUUCAUGUGUAAAUGAGAGGUUUUAUAUUCGAUUUUUAUCAAAGGCGAAAUAGAACCAAACUCAUUGUGACGUUACCCCCACCUCUAGUGUAUAUAAUAUUGUAUGUAUUAAAAAAAGAUCCUAUAAUUAAACUUGAUAAUCGAAACCAUUAAUUUGUGCACCACUUUGUAAAGAAUAGAAGUUAUCAAAAUAAAAAAAAUUAAUUGUGACAAAUAUAAUUAGCCAGCUAAUAUUCAUGCCAAACUACUUGCCAAAAACACAAAAUAAGGUAGGUUGGUGCUUUAUUGUAGUGACGGAAAGUAAUCAUGUUUAUGCACCCAGGCGCAUGUAAGAUUUCCACUGAUUCCCCUCCCUCCUAAUAAUUAGUCUUUGUUGGCUUGCUCACUCUCUUUUCCUUCACUGAAAAUUUUCCCAAGUGGUUAUUUUCAGGUAAGGUUUUUCAGAAACCCUCGUUUUGAACUUGUCGUGGGACUAUUGUUUGUUUCAUAAACAACUUGAGCAGGGGUAGGGUUUGGUUCAUCCUCUGAUGAUUGACAUGUUGUGGAUCGAGAGAAGACUACGAUCGAUGCCCAGGAAAACUCGAUCAAUCAUUCGUUUUGGAAGAACAAGAGCCGUGGUCCUACGGUUCAUGAUUGUACAAACAAUGAUCCCACCAGCUGAUGAUCAAGAAAAAUGGACUUGCCACUUGCCAGACAUUGUCACAACGACAAGGCUUUGGCAUCGAUCAUGUCAUGCAAGUGGGACGACCGAUCGAGCAUUUUCAUCACUGACAACCUCCUAAGUAAAUCAAAAGAAAAUUAUUUGGCAUAACUAAUGUUCAAAAAGAGAAAAAUGGUAUGCGGAAUUUAUUUCUAGAGAGAGAAGCAAUGACUUGGCUGACCCCAACAUCAACAUGCAUGAUUGUAACAACUCAAAUAACAGAAAAAGAUCUCUCCUCUCUAAUCGUUUGAGGCAUAUACGUAAAAAACAGCCUACCACCUCAGCUUGCUGCCAAUCAAUCAACAAUAAUAAUGUUCACUAUAAAAUUUUCUCAGCAUUGAAUUUUUGUGGUAAAUUCCCUCUUGAAAAAUGGUUGAGUGUGACCUCUAUUUCCUUCUAUCUCUGCAGGUUGAAAAAGUUGUGACGGAGAUAUUUGAUGGAUUCUCUUCCAAACUUUGCCUCCAUAAUUUUCGUUGCAAAAAUCUUUCUACUUUGAUUCGCUCGCUUUUCCUGGUUUUUUUUCUUUACAAGCACGAGAGGAAUCGAACUCGUACCUAUAUAUCUUAAUCUUAACCACACCCUAUCUUCAUGUGUUUUCAUUUAAUAAUUAAGUAGCGAUUUCGUUACUAAACUAAUUAAGAACCUUGAUUGAAAAAUCUUACAACCCAGUCGAAAAUCUCAAGUGGAUAUGGUAAUUUUGCUCCAAUAGUUGGCAGCAAAAUUAUCUGGUACUUCAUGCAACUUGUCAUUCAACUUGGCGCACCAGUUGGCCAAACGUCACAACGAUGAAGGGAUGAAACAGGCUAAAAGCCAACAAAACAAACCAAACAUCUUGUAAAAAGGGAACAUAAUUUACGCUGGUCUUCUUCUUAGAUUUACAGCUUUCAAGUGUGCAUGAUGAUACAAUUUUGUUCCUGCAUGAAAACAAAAGGGACGAUCAAAUAUGUUAUCUUUUUAACUUUUUACAACAUCACUUGUAACGGUAUUUAAAUAUAAUUAUAAAAUGUUAUGCGAGAAAUUUAAAAUACAUAACAGUAUACUAUUAGCUUGAGAUACUAGUUUGAGGUUUGAUUAAUCAUAAAGCUCCAAGUUAAGAAAAAGGGUAAGUUAAUAACUUUGAUAAUUUUAACUUGAGCAACAAAAGUUUGAUGGUGCUGCAACUACAAUAUUAUUACAUAGUAUCUCUUGUGCACGAAUAACAUGUCUUGGUGACAGAUAGAAAUUCACUCCUGAUUUCUAUCCGGAGUAAACAGAACAUGGAAUUCAAAUUUUUCAAAUUCCAACUUAACGCUCAGGUUCGGACACUAACAUCUGGAGAGGAUCCGAAUUCCACCCUGACGACGCAAAGCCUCCUCUACUUCCCGACAAACCUCCAACAAAACCUCUCUGAUUCUUCUCCUUUUAUAAUUUUGUGUUAGUACAAGAAUCUCAUGUUAUAUUAAUCCUAAAGGCUUUCUUACCAUAACAAUAUAAUAUCCGGCCAUGACUCUUAUCCCUACUCCCUAUUACAAUGAUUCCUCAACCAUUUGAUCCUCUGGAUCUAAUUAACAUAUCAAGUACACAUGGGCAUGGCCUCAUCACAUAAUAAUUUAAGGGGUGUGCUAUCCACACACCCCUUUUUACUUCUCUCACAUCCUUUUUUACUUUUCCCACACCCCUUGUUAAUUUCGGUCAUUUGAUAUUCUUCAAUUCAUCCGAUCCAACAGUCAAAAAUUAAAAGAGUGUGAGAGAAGUAAAAAUGGUGUGUGGAUAUCAUGUCCCUAAUUUAAAUACCGAAUCAAGAAAAAUCUUAGGUGUAACCAUUUCACUAUUUCAUUUUCUCACUCUUUUAAGUUGUGAAAGGUAGAUAAUACAACAAUUACAUGAAAGAUUGAUAAAAUCUCUCCCAAAAUUGAAUUUAAACAAAACCAGCUUGACGAGAAAUAUUAUUGUGUUACGUGAGAUUAUGUUAUAUUAUUGUGGCGAAAGCACUUAUUACGUGACCAAAUCACAUGAUAAGCAUUUUAGAUCAUAUGACGAGUGUUGUAGUAAACACAUCAAGAUGUAUCCUGGGAAAGAUUCUCUCCAUCUGGACACCAUGAAAUCAAUCAUAUUCUAAACUCUCAUUAGGGUUUUCAAUGAUUUGUUUUAAUUAACUUUGUUUAUGAAAGGGGUGGUGGUGGCUGAUUAAUUAGUGGCAGGUGGGAUUCUGAUUCUGAUUUUCUUACAUAAUUGACACUCACACACACGCACCAAAACAAAUGUUGCAAUGCAUGACGUGAUAUGGACGGUUGUGAUGUGGGUUGUCAUGCUCGAUAUAAAAAGGAAACCAGUGGCGGGGAAACAUGCAAGUUUUAGGGUUUUUUGUACUUGUCAAAUAUUCCAAUUGUAUUGACGUUAUUGGAUGGCUUUUAUACUACAUGUUACAGCGGUACAUGCUUAGAGUGCCUGAGAAUGUUAGGGUUAGUCGCGAACAAACACUAGUGUAUCUCUUUCUGAUGAAUAAAGAGUAAAAUUUGCAUAUAUCAACCAUUAAAAAAUUAUACAGUCGUGAGUGUAGCAAAAUCUUAAUUGGAGUUCGUUUGAAACUAUUUAGCAAAAUCUUAAUUAUUUACCGUUGUAACAAUUUCAUUUCCUAGUGAAGCUAAGCGGCAUAGGAUACUUCAUUGCAAUGAGAGGUCCAUCACAAGCCAGUUUUAGGUACAUGGGGUCAGGGUGCAUUACUCCACGGGCCAUGGAACAUGGCUAGCAGGUCCCGGACAAGGUCGGGUCAUUGAUAACCCAGGGUCCCUCACCGCAGCAGAAUCCCACACACUAAUGGCGCGUUUACUAAUCCGUAAUCAAAUUGAGAGGAAUUGGAUUGAGGGGGAAUUGGAUUGAGGAAGAAUUGAAAUGAGGUGGAAUCAGAAUCAGAUUCCUGUUGAAGUUGUUUACUAAAACUGUCAGGAAUCGGAGUAGGAAUGAUGUUGAGUCCAUAUAAGUUGUUUACUAAUUCAUUUCAAUCGGAAUGAAAACUAGGUUGAUUACUUUAUUGCCCUUACAUAAAUAAAUUAUUUUCAUACUAAUUAAUUUAAUUAAAUUCUUAAUUAAAUUUAUAUAAUAAAAUUCAUCUAUAUAAGCAUGUAUAAAUAGGUUUUAUUUAUUUAUUAAAAGAUGGCAAAAAUGAUAUUGAAUCUAUAUAAGUUGUUUACUAAUUCACUUCAAUCGGAAUGAAAACUAAGUUGAUGACUAAAUUGCCCUUACAUAAAUAAAUUAUUUUCAUACUAAUUAAUUAAAUUAAAUUCUUAAUUAAAUUUAUAUAAUAAAAUUAUCUAUAUAAAAAAAUAUAAAUAGGUUUUAUUUAUUUAUUAAAAAUGACAUAAUGAGUGUCAAAUGAAGGGCAAUGUUGGGAUAAUAAGAAACAAGUGAGGGCAUAAUUGGAAUAAAAGAUGCAUUCCUGAUUCCCUUGCCCUUAGGGAAUUCAAAUACCUCACAAAACUAGGGAAUCCGGUUCCUCCAAUUUCAGGAAUUGGAUUCCUUGUUUCGUGUGGGCUCCACCACUUUUUUGAUUCCUUAAUAUUUAGUAAACACCGGAAUACUCCGUAAUCGGAAUUCAAUUCCCUUUCUUUAUUCCGAUUACCCUUACGUAAACAUGCCAUAAGGCCGGUAUAAGGGAGAGGGAUCCUCAAUAGUACCUUACAAAAGGGGAGGGGGUCCUCCAUUUGAUGAAAAGAAUUUUUGCCGGAUCAUUUUCAUAAGGAUCCUGUAAUCGUGACCGUUCAUCGUAUAUUGUGCGAUUAGAAAUUAUUUUAAAAUUUAAAAUUUAAAAUUAAAUAUAAAUAGUACUUAACGAAAACUGACCGCAUGAUAUACGAUGAACGAUCACGAUUACGAGAUUCCUAAGAUCCUUAGGAAAAGAAUGCGACGAAGAUCCUUUUCCCCAUUUGAUAUACAUGAAACAUCAUCAACCCUUAUCCUCCCAUAACCCAAGUGGAUAACAAAUGCAACUUUUUAUGUUAAAAAUCAAAUGACAUGAUUUAUCAAAUUUUAUAAAUAACGAGUUUGAUAUUAAUUUAUUUUUUUAAUAUAAAUAUAUUCCAAAUAUAAUAAAAUAAAUCAAUGAUGUUAUCAUGAAAAUGAGUGCGUAUAGAAAGUUAACAUAGCCAUGAUACUUAACAAUAAACUACUACGAGUAAUCAGUGGUUAAAAAUGAAUUUUAAGUCCAAAUUUCACACGACGUGUUUUUAGUUCGAUUUCUAGCGCUAGCAAAUAACACGAUGGUGGUCAGAGGAAGCCUGAAAUGCUUAUAUGAGUCUUCCAAACUCUUGAAAUAAUGAAUUGUCGUUGCGAAGCCACUAGUUAGUCUCCUUUUACAAAACAAAAAUGGUACUUUAACAAUAGACUUGAUUGAUCUCGUACUUACUGUGCAAUUUUCAUUUGUUAAUAAUUUGAGAAAAAAAUUUGCAGUAUGAUAGUUGAUAAUGUGGAUGGACAUGCUACUCUCACAAAAGAACGUAUCCUCUUACAUUUGAGUAUCAUCUAGCUCAUGUAAGUACAACAUUCAACUCACAAGCAUGUGUAAGAGUGAUACGAUCAGCUACAUGAUCAUAUUGCCUUAUCAAAAAAAUUCUCAUGCGUUUUAAAGAUUUGUAUUAUAACUUUGGUGGAAUUGAUGGAUAUGUACUAACAUAUGCACAGUACAAAGCCAUGAUAAGAUUUUGGACAUUGUUCGUUGCAAUGUGCACCAUACACUCAUAAGUCACACUAUUUUUAAGAAUACAUGGUCAGCAGGUUCUAGAAUUGUUUUAUUAUAAUAUCGAGCAUAAGUACACUACUUUUCAGUCAAAUUGCACAAAUUAGUGAUUCGAGCAUAAACUUCAUUACUUUAUUAGUAGAUUUACAACUUCGUAAUAAACUAACCAUAGAUGGUGGUUUAGUGGUUGUGAACGAAUUUUAGGUUUGUAUUUUAUAUGGUACGUUAUGAGUUUGAUUAUUGGCGUUAGUGAAUAAUAUAAUGAUAGCCGGGAGAGUUUGAAAUGUCUAUGUAUGUCUUUCUAGCCUUCGAAAUAGUGGAUUAUCGUGGUGAAGCCACUAGCUGGUCUUUUUAAAAAAAAUUCAUGAUAAAGUGCUUGCAUAAUAUUUAAUCAAUUUUGUCUCUUGACAACUGAUAAUAUUAGUUCAAUAACAAUCGCAAAUGGGUAAUGCUAGGAAAACUAAAUUUGUAGACAAAAUUUACAAACUAAAUAAUGUUUUAUAAAUAAAAAUGAGCAGGUUUAUCAACACUUAAGUAAUAAUCCAACCAUCACUUUUCAUGUCAUUUAGUUUAUAAAAUUUUAUUUGCAAAUUUUGUCUUCCUACCAUUACCCACGCAAACACAAAUUUCCAUUCUUUAAAACGGAACUUUAUGUUUCUUAAAGUAAACCGAAAUUUCAAAAGAAUUAUUUAUAAAAUAAAAUAUAAAUAAAAAUAAAAAAAAUAAAAAAAACCCUAUAUAAUUGGAUGUGAUUUGUGAAGCUCCAUCAAAUAUGGGCCUUCCAAAAACGACAAGUCGUUAUUGGACCCCACUAUUGUAUUUUGGACCGUCCAAUGUGGCCUUCACAAACACUUUGCUUUUCUAUCCUAAGUGGAGAUUUAAUUAAUUUAACCCCAACACUAAACUUGAUUAAAACCCCUUAACCAUCAAUUCUGCAGACGCUAAUCUUCUGGUCAUCAUCAUUAGGGAGUAUUUUUGCUCACCAUCAUUUAAUAUGGUGUAUGCUCACUAUCCUAUUUAUCACCAUUAGAUAUGUUUAAAUUUCGAGAUUCGUACAGUAGAUAAGCACAAAUCUCAAAAUUCAAACUUAUAUAAUGAUGAUAAAUAAGAUGGUGAGUAUACAUCAUACUAAAUGAUGGUGAGCAAAAAUACCCCCAACACAAAACAAAAAACAUCCUUAACCAUUUAUUUACUUAUUUUUAACUGAAGAUAUUAUCUGCCGGUCAUUGUCCAUCCACGUGGCAUGGAGGAAGACCCUGAAAGCGGGACCCGCCUGCUAGUGUAGAGGGAAUACCGACGUGGAUGGUUUGUAGCUUCGCAUACGAUAGCGCGUUCUUAACAAUCACCCAACGAGAUUAUUUAUUUAUUAUUUGUAUACAUGCCUAUAUUAACUAAAUUGAGAAUAAGUUGCUCAUCUGAGUUAAAAUAUUUCUGUCGUAAUUUAGAUCAAACUUUUGCUUAAACAAAAAAUUUAGAUUAAAUUAAUUAAGGGGUAAAUUAUAAUUUGCACACUAGAAUUUAGUUGAAUUGGAACUUCACACAUCAUUCUUUUAUUUCUUUUUUAAUUUAUUGUUAUUAAGAGAAGGAUGAGGGUUUGAAACUAUUAUAAUAAUUUAAAAUUCAGAUGUGUGGAUGAAAAUCCAAUACCCUAUCCAGUAAGAUAUUAGCUGCAAUGUCAUAUAUAUAUUAAAUUAUUCAUUAAUUUGACCGUUAAUUGAUGAUAUCACAAUCCAACAUGUUUACUGCCAUAGUCAUCAAUCCUGCAACCAAUUUCAUUUUCUCCUUCCCUCCCAUUGCUUCGGUAUCUCUAUUUUCCUUCCUUCAUGUGUCAAUGAUCAAGCUGUAAUUUACCCUUUAAAAAAUUGGUAAUCCAUUUCAAGUUGAACACUGCUAUUUAUUUAUUUUAAAUAUUAGCAAUUUGAAUUAUUACUUUCAUAUUUUGUUCAGGCUAUUGUUCAUUAUCUACUUACUAAGGUUACAAUUCACUACUACUUAAAAUCUAAAAAAAUCAAUUGAUGACUUCGUCACGACAAUCAACUCUUUUGAUAACCGAAAAAACUUACAGAGGCAUUUCAACUUUCUUCUAACCACCAUUGUGUGAUUCACCAAUACUAGAAAACAAAAAUAAAAACGUGAUGCAUAGAAUAUGAACCUAAAAUUCGUCCACAACCACUUAGCAAUCAUAUCACACUAAAACAAUUGUUUUUGGUCGAAUUUCUAUCAGGCACAAAAAUAACUGGAAUUGUUUACUACUUCAUAUCGAUAAGUUAAAAAAUUGCAGCGGCCUCAUGCCUCAUAGGUGUAUUUGGUAAUUAGCUCUUAUGAUUUUACAUGAACAUAAGAAAUUGGUUUCCAAUUUAACUCGGAGAAAGUAAGGAUCAACACCUCCACACGUGUUGGCGGGAGCGUGUAUAAUGGAAGAAUUACCCCAUUGAAAUUUUCCUAUUUUUUAAUGUUUCCUGAACCUGUUGCCAUUUUUUAACAAGAACGGAUUCUAUCAAGAGCUAAGCAGCCAGAGCCUCCUCAUCAAACAAUUUGGACCGUAUAAAUUGAAUCUAACGGUUUCUAUUAAUUCAUUUUACUGGCUCACCACACACAACCGACGGCCCUGAUUUGACUUGCACAUCUAUCAGUGGCCCAUAUUGCUUGAUGAGGAGGCUCCGGCUGCUUAGCUCCAAAGAGGAUCCGAUCUCUUUUUUAACAUCACCGUCAUACAUUUUCGAGUAGAAUUCUCUCUUUUUUCAAUUUUUGUCUUUUUCCCAUCUUUCUCUUACCAUUUUUUUUCUUCCUCUACAACGGUAAUAAUUAAAUAUUUAUGUAACUUAAUCGUGAUCAUUUAAACAAAAAUAAAUUUAAAAAACAAAACAAAAAGAGAAAAUUCUACCGCAUUUGAGAGGUUAUCAUAAAGAAAUUGCGUACAAAAUGACGCCCAAAUUCAAAUGAAAUGAAUUAUUUGUUUGUGUGUGAUUUUCUGGGGAAUGCUAUAUAUCUACUAUAUAUAUACAUGUCAACCCCUCCAGUUCCCAGCUUAUGCGUAAGCCUAUAAUAUAUUGAGGGCCGAUAGAAUUGUGAAUUGGUUUCGUGGGGUCUCUCCUUUCCUCAAUUGGGUCGCCGGAAAUUCUCGAUUCCGGGACCUGAAUCCGAUUGAUUAUGACAUAUGGCGAAGGGCCGGAAACUGACGCAGAGCCGCAGCGAACGGUUGCUCGGGACCUACAGCGGCUACAGCCACGCCCAUGACUCGCCGGAGCUCGGCGAGGACGAUGUCUGGUCGAUGGUCAACAGCGUCGACGAGAGGGAGGACCACGAAACCGAGAACUCGCAGGGCGAAUGGAGCCCACACGCCUUCCCGGAGAGCACCGUUGGUAUUCAGGCGAGGAAGGGCCGCCAUAUUGCCAGAGACGACCGCAACGUGGGCGGGCUGUCAUUGGCCUUUGACGAUUCUGGCAAGACGGCGUCGUCGCCUCGGAUCGUGCACCAGUUCCGCGGACACGACAGCGUGGCGUCCCCACGUGGGCACCACAUGGCCACGUCAGCUCCGGUGAACGUGCCUGACUGGAGCAAAAUUCUCCGGGUCGACUCGGUGGACUCGCUGUAUGAAAUGGGCGACGGGUUAGAUGGCAAUGACUCGGAGAUGAUUCCCCCACACGAGUACCUGGCGCGUGAGCACACGCGCGGCGCGACGUCGGUUUUCGAAGGCGUAGGGCGAACCUUGAAGGGCCGGGACAUGAGGCGGGUCAGGGAUGCAGUGUGGAGCCGGACCGGGUUUGAUGGAUAAUUUGCGAUGGAUAGUGCUAUCCACAUAACGAUUUUUACUUCUCACACACUUCUCUCAAUUUUGGUUGUCAAAUCGAAUGAAUUGAAGAAAAUCGGUCAAUAAUCACCAAACAUGUGUGAAAAGUAAAAAUUAGUGUAUAAAUAGUACUACUUUUGUGAUAGAAACUUAAGGAGGUUUAAUUAUUAUGAAAAAUUAUUGAUUUCAGAUCUAGAGGAGUAUAAUUAUUGUUGUGAAUUGGUAAGUUUCGUUGGGCAAUGAUUCAGCUGAGUCUGAUCUAGUCGGACUUAGCUGUGAGUGAGCCCAAUUUGCCCAAAACAUUGAAUUUUUAAUGUCGGAAUUUAGACCCUUCUUGCUCUUUUUUCUAAGUAAAACAAAAUUGGUACUCUCAUUUUGCACUUCGAAGUAUUUUGUUUUCGAUAACGCUGUUUGAACACAUAAAUUAACAUACAUGUUAACAUACACUGUCCAAUAGAAAUGAAUCUCAUCGUCGUAUAUCGAGUCCACAUUUUAAAAUGCCAAUAAAUAUAUCAAUUUUGUGCAACUAAAUAACAUUACUCUAGUCUUAUGAACCUAAGUUCUCAAAAAUAGGAUAAUUACAAAAGAAGUCCUGAUUAUUUUUGUAAAUUCCUUAUUUCUUUUUCUAUCAAAACAUGUUUUCAUGAAGAAAAAAAAAUCCGACCUAAACAUGUUUAUUUUAUUCCUUGAAUUUUUUAACAUCAAUUGAGUUAAGAAGAAAUAAUAUCAUUGAGACCUUGUAAUCAUUUGACUAAAAGUUGCUCGAUCAACGUUCAACUGUUUAAGAUGCGGCCAAUUACAUAUUUGUGUAUAGAGAAUCAAAGUUUGCACCAUCUACACUUGCUAACUCACACCUAUAAACCUUUCUUAAACUCUUAACAAAAACCUAAUCUUAAGACUUAAACUAUACUUUAGUAAUUGAUAAGUGUCUCCAACACUUGUACACCUAAACUAUACUUUGUUAAUUUCAACAUCUUAUUUACCCUUUUAAAUGAAAAUUGAUUAAAAUUAGGUAUUGCUAAUCAACAUGAUUAAUUAACUUUAGAUCAAUGAAUCACAUGAUACAUUUCGACUCCUAAUAAUAACAAAUCACAUUAUAAUGAACAGAGAAAAGCUCGAUGAAUUUUCUUGGCUUUCCAAAUAGUGACACCAGCUAAUAUCUUUUUUGAAAGAAAAGAUCAAUGAUGUGUGGUUUGAUUUCAGCCACAGAUAUAUAUACACAUAUAUGUGUGUGUACACACACACACAUAUAGUUGAGCAUAAGUGUGGGCCCCACUGAUAUCCAAAGCUUAGUGUUGAAUCCAAAAAUUCGGAAGUCGAGUCACUUAUUAGGUAGUGUCGAGAUUUUAAUGGCGGGAAGACAAAGUAAAAGCAAUGGCUCUCAUUCCUUGCGAGUUGUGACUCCGUAGUUGCGUCCCUUUCUUGAAAAAGUUAUGACCCAUAUGCCUUCAUUUUAUUUUUGGAUCUAGAUUUGAUGGCUAAUAAUAUUAAUCCAAUAUCUUUACCUCCAACAAUAUUGUUACAUAUGUCGUUAUGGCCACAUGAAGUUAUAAGAAUAUUUCAUCUUUACUAGUCAGAAUUUGAGUACUUUCUGUAUCUCACAUUAGUAUAUUUCUCGUUACGUGAGAAUUCAUAAUUGAAGCCAUUGACUAAUUCAUUAGUAUUAGACUCUGAGUACAUUUCUUUUAAAGACAAAUCUAUAAUAAGGUACAAAUCAAUGGAUAGUUUGCUGAAAUACUCUUAUUAACUUAAUGUUUCUUCGUCCCAAAGUUAUAUUUGAAUGGUGUUGGAUGAAUUGUUAAUCCACAAAUUUGGUAACUAAAUUUGACAAAAAAAAAUUAAAAUUAAAAUUAGUAUCUAAGUUACUCUAAUUGAUUUUAAUUUAUUAUAUAAGGUAUCUAGCCAUAAAUUGGUGGUAAAUUGGUUUAUCCCUCCUUGCAAUUUUGAUAUCACAUGAGACGACAUCAUACUUUUGAUUUUCAUGUUAAAAGGUAAGUCGAAUCAGUUUCAAUAUCCCCCAAGAAAUGCAUAUGUAAGUUUUCAAACUUGAAUGGAGAAUUCUAAACUUUUGCUCGUUUUUCACUAGACCACUGUGGAUGCAAAUUUCUUUCUCCUUGAUCUUGGACAAAAUUUCACCUACAAAACAAUUAACACAUUUGGUUAAGGUCAAAAGCCUUACGCACCCACGAUGAAUGGGGGGGGGAAGUUUUGGCCGAAGAACCUCUGAUACCAAAGUUAGAAUUUAGAGAGAAAAUAUUUGAGAAUUUUAGAGAAUUUUAGCAAGAGACUUGGAAGUAGUUUUUGGAGAGAAUAGAGAGCUAUUUAUAUGGAUAUGGCCGGCCCUAUUAGGAGACACAUUUGGUCAAGGCCAAAAGCCUCACGCACCCACGAUGAAUGGGGGGGGGGAAGUUUUGGCCGAAGAACCUCCGAUACCAAAGUUAGAAUUUAGAGAGAAAAUAUUUGAGAAUUUUAGAGAAUUUUAGCAAGAGACUUGGAAGUAGUUUUUGGAGAGAAUAGAGAGCUAUUUAUAUGGAUAUGGACAGCCCUAUUAGGAGAAUAGGGACCGGCUAUUUGGGGUAUUUUUUGGGUGUAAUUUGUAAUUAAUUAGCCAUUAAUAUAUUAAUUAGAUAAUAAAUCCAUUAAUUGACUAAUUAACAUAAUUUAAAAGAAAUAACUUGGGAGUUAUGGAAUAAUUAUCUAAUCAAUUAGCUAAUUAAUAAAAUAAUUACCUAAUUGAUUAGCUAAAAAAAGGAAAAUGGGGUAGAGAAUAUACGGGAUGAAAUAAGUUUUGGGAGUUACCUUGUAUAAGGGAUUUGAUGAAUGAAAUAGGUUUUGAAUUGUUACCUAUUUUGGACAAUUUUGACUUGGUUGAGGAAUGAUUGCCCUCUGCUUGCGUGUAGGAAUCUCGAUAUGCCUCAGGGGUAUUUUUAUCCUCUUUUAUCCAAAAAUCCAUGUAUCGCUUUGUAAUUAUUUUUGGCUUCACAACCACCAUUUUUUUUAAAUGAAUCUGUUGGUGGCUUCGUCGCUGUAGUUUACCCUUUCAAAAACCUGAAAGACUCACAUAGAUAUUUCAACCUCCCCAAUCUAUGAUUGUGCCAUUCACAAGACAACCAUCUUGGAGUUUCCAAUUUACUUUGAUAUUGUUGAACCUCCUAUAGCAUAGGCAGACAUUAAAAUUAACUUUUGUUGAUCUUGGACCUUGUCAACCAGGUUCACUAGGGCCGUAUGUACCCAUGUCCACAAUCUAUCGCCCUCCACUAAAAAGCAUUUGGUUUUGCUCGUUGCUUGGAAUGGACCUCACCUCAUUUUUUGUCCAUAUUUUUAUAAUUUUGGACUGAUUUUAAUAUCCAUUUCCCGCAGUUAUAUUCCAUGUCCAUGUGCUUUGGUUUGUCAGGACUUUCUCUAUCGGCGGUUUGUGCUUCCUUACAUUCAGAUUUGGCUUUUUUAGGUUUUAAUUUUCAAAUCAACGUGCAUCUUGGUUUAUAGAUUUGUCACCUUUCAUGAUGUAUGUUUUUUCUUUUUUCCUAACCUAUUGUUGUUGGUGUUUUGCAACUUGUUUUGCAGGUUUAAACCUUUUAAAUUUUCUUUGGAGGAGUUUAGGCUUUACGCCCCUCCCCUCUUUCUUGUAUUUUUAUUUGUUUUCUAGAUCAAAGUACUGCUUAUUCUUUCGCCUUGUAUUAUAAGAGGUAAGAUUUAUGUCCUUACUAAUUAGGUGUAAGAUUUUGUCCCCUCAUAACUAGUGCAAUUUCUUUUUUCUAAUUCAAUAAAAUGUUCUUCGUACUUUUCUUAAAAGAAAAUGAUUUGUUAUUUUUCUUUAAAAAAAAACAGAAAAUACCAACAGUAACCCCUUAACAUUAAAAAUCUAAUUUGAGGUGCAAAAUAAAGCCCAAUGCUCAGUGGUCUUACUAAUUUGAGACAAGAGCCCUAAUGGGUUAUCUUGUAAGGCCUAUAGUGAGAAAAUCUUGGGGAAAAGCCCAAAUCAGUCAUUUAGACCGUCACCAUGUUUCUUUUCCGUAACUAUGCCACAAUUUUACCGUCUCAACUUUUGGACUACUUUUGAAUAAUGAUACGAUAUUUUAAAGUACCGAGAUUUAUAAAUAAAAUUUUAACUUGGUGUAAGAGAGGGAAUAAACACAUUGUUCUAGCUAAUUGAUUUAAUCCAUAUAUGCUUCUCUAGCAGACUUUUACGAGUAGCAAAAAUAUUUGCGAAGUCAUUGAUUUGGUUGUUUACAGAGAUCAUUUUCUAGCCCCAACCUCUCUCAAAAACAUACUCCAAAUGCCAUUUGGUUAAUCGAACUUUAAAUGCGACAAAUUCAUAUUAAAUAACCUUACAAGUCUGAUCACGUGACGCUCAUAUUAAAGAUUCAAGAAUUGAGGUCUAAGAAACUGUCACAAACCCCAUGCUAAUCAAAAUCCAAUUAGCAGUUCAUCCAUUAGUAUACAAUUUUUAUGUUUCCCAUUGAAUUUUAGUUCCAAAUUAUAUUAUCCAUCACACGUAUUUGUGAUUUUAGGUCAACUCUUAUCCAACACAUAAAACCACCUGGAAUCCACACACCUGUAUGGCUUGAGCAGGUAAAUUCCACAUGAUUCUGUCCACUUUCAAUUGACUUUUUUUGGCAUUUGGUUUUUUGUCCUGGAAUCAUGGAUGUAUUAAAAAAAAAAAAAAACUAAUGAAAAAAGUUUGAAAAUUUUGAGUUAUAACGAUAAUGAUAAAAUAAAAGGUGAUUGAUUUUUUGGUGUAAAAAUAUAAUUUUUCCUUAAAGUGAACAAUAUCAUGAGCUUUUCUUUCAAGUUCCCUUAAAAAAAAAAAAAAAAAACUUUAACGAAAAGUUUUCGUUAUUGUUCACUUUAACGAAAAGCCACAUUUUUACACUAAAAAAUCAAUUCUAUACUAUUCACUUUACCCUUUAUUUUGUCCUUAUCGUUAAAACUCAAAGUUUUCAAGCAUUUUUCAUUAGUUUUCCUUAAAAAAAAAAAAGUAGUUCUAUUCACAAAUCCAUUUUUAUUUGUCACAUUUAUUUUAAUUUUUAGUCAUUGAAUCGAAUGAAUUGAAGAAGAUCAAUGACUAAAAAUAGCAUAGGUGUGUUAAUAACAUUAUCCACAGUAUAUUGUUAAUAAAGUGAUGAGAAAUUCACUAUAUUACAAUUAAGUUCGAAUCUCGUAAACGACGAGUUCAAUACCAAUUUAUUUCUAUCACAAUUUAUUUCUAUCACAUCUUAAUGUAAUGUAUCGUUCUAUUAAUAAAAAUAAACAAGUGAUGAAAAAAAACAUUAAACAUAGCGGAACAUAAACAAAUAGAGGCAAUAAAAUACACAAGAGACGGUGAGGGGAAGAAUAAUUUAAUUUUUUUAUCGACAUCGUUGCUUACUGCUUCCUUAAGAGUUUCGUAACUCAAAUAGUUAAGGAUAAGAUUCAUGAAUUCGAGACCUUAUGUUUGUAUAAAAAAAUAUUUAUCUGUAUAUCUGAAGUUUCUUUAGUUUCUAUUCUCCUCCCUCGUUAUCACUUGCACCAGAAGACAAUUGUUUUCAUAACUUGACAUCUAAUAAACCAAAAGUUAAUAGUGACAGCACUCUAACUUAUCAAUUGUAAUAUUCUUUAAUUAUAGAAAAAAUCUGGCAUGCAAUUGGGAUAUUUAGAACGAUAUUUUAUAAUUAAGAAUUUGUCAUGUUAAUGGGUUCAAAUUAUAAUUAUGAUUAUUUUCCAAAAAAUCAAUGAUACGAUUACGAGCCUAUCACACCAAAGAAAAUACCAAGUGGGCCUAAAGCACUAAUUUGCAUGAUAAUUGGAUAUAUAGUUUAAGACAUUAGCCAUUUAAGAUAUAGUAAUUUACAAUAUGGGGCCUAAGAUUUAAUAAUUAUAUUUACUCUCACUCAUAAAAAUUUGAAAAUGACACAUAUUUACAUAGAAUUUAAACUUGGGAAUUGGAGGUCCCAAGUUCCAAUUUUUUUUUUUUUCAUGCGGAAAUUCUAAAUUUCUAUGUUCAUGAAUCUAAACAAGAGAUUUGGUGCAUGUCAAUUUAUAAAUUCUAACUGUUGUCAAAAUUUCAAGUUUAUUUUUUUCAUCCAAACAUAAUUAAAAAUUUCCAGGAAAAAUUCUAAUUUUUUGUUGAACUAGCAAGUGAAUAGUGUUAAUCGAGACCGUCCUUUUCAAUGCAAAAUUUAUAUCUUCCUUUUCUCCUUGCUCGAAGAUCCACCCUUGAAUUUUAUUUUUUAAUUCUAUAUUUAACAAGUAAAUAGUUACACUUUAAAUUUAGAGAGCGAUGGUUUAUAUGAAGAUUUUUUUUACAACAUUUGACACACCCCGACCGAGAUCAAGGCAUGCUGACCGUCACGUGAGAGUGACGUAACCAUGUGCACAAUACGGAAGCAAUAAUGAUAGGAAAUAUACGAAUAAUUAAAAACCAAAUUACUAAAGUGCAUUACUAAACAAGAAGUGAUAAGAGUUAGUUACAAAAGUAAGCACUCCUAAUCAGAGCAUAAUAAGUCUAUGUGUAGUCCAGUAUGACAAGUACUAGUUAUACAGUACCAUGAAUGUCCUACUAUUAUUUAGAUAGGUCAAAACUGCUGACGUCCUCAAGCCACCCACAUCAAGCUUACUUAAAACCAGGAGAGGCGCAAAACAGAAAACGUGAGUGGGCAAAAACAAAUGUUUUACAAAGUCAUUUCAUUUAUCAACAUAUCUAACUCCUCGCUGUAAAACAUGUAUAAUUUUUCCCAGAAUCAAGAUAUAAGCAUAUACAUAAAUAUAUAUAUAUAUAUAUAUAUAUAUAUAUAUAUAUAUAUAUAUAUAUAUAUAGAGCUUAAGGGGAGGGAUCCCCAUUUUUUGAAAAAAAUGGGGAUUAGGUGUGGGGCCCACUUCACAUCUAAUUUCAACGAUCCGAACCGUCUAUUUUGUUAGUCUCGAUUCAUAGAUCAUCCUUGCAAAAUAUUAGCUAAAUUGGAAAUGUUUAAGACAUCUAAUUGGGUUCAAGGAAAUGAACGAAUACUUUGUUAUAUAAGAAAAUAUGAAAUUUGAUAUUGAUAAUUAAAUAGGCAAAUGGUUUCGGAUUGAAUUGAAUUUUUGCAAUGAUGAUCUAUGAAUCGAGACUAACAAAAUAAACGGUUCGGAUCGUUGAAAUUAGAUGUGAAGCGGGCCCCACACCUAAUCCCCAUUUUUUUCAAAAAAUGGGGAUCCCUCCCCUUAAGCUCUCUGUAUAUAUAUAUAAUCAUAUCACUUCAAAUCAUGCUUCACUUAAUCAUAAUCAUAUGUAUGUAUAUAUAUAUAUAUAUAUAUAUAUAUAUAUAUAUAUAUAAUCAUAUCACUUCAAAUCAUGCUUCACUUAAUCAUAAUCAUAUGUAUGUCAUGCCAAGAUAUAACAGAGUAAGCAAUUCAGGUAAGAAUAAUUUCAUAGAAAUAUCACAUGUUAGCCGGAACCCCUGUAGUAGUCUGUACGGCUGAAUUCAUAACUCAAAAGUUACUCUAGCCGGAGUCACUACAAUGACCUAUACGGUAAUAUACUGCACAAGAGUCGGAACCAAACAAAAAGGUUUAUACGACAAUAAUGGGUGUAAUAUAAUCAUGCUCAAUACUAUUCUCACAUAAUAGCUGGGCGAUAAAUCGCUAGUCACUUACGAGUCGGAACCAUAAUAAAGGUCUGUAUGACAAGACUGUGCACCUAAAUUGGAUCUAAUAUGAGCAUAUGGUGCAGGAGGUGACAUAAUAAAUAGGCAUGUGCCAUAUUUAUGACUAAAUCACAAUCACCCUAAGUCCAGUUUUAUGAGCUCAACAUUAUUCAAUCACAUAUCGCAUCAUUGAUGAUUCACAUAACUAACACAAGUUACCUGAGCUUACCUGAGUGUUCACAUCACCACAAUUAUAUAUAUAAAGCAUCACAUACCAAUUCAUGUAUGAAUUAUAAACUUAUAUGCAUGGCAUUUAUGGCAUACUAUCAUUUAAACACCUAUUUCUGGGAAAAUAUCAAGUAUAUAAUAUAUACUGAAAACUAAAAGCCCACUCAUUGGUAAGUCAAAGGGUCGUAGCCCCUGAGUCGCCCUUGGAUACGCUCGUCCUCGGGAUAAGUCUCAACUAUAUGCGAAUUAACUAUAAAAACGUUAUUUUAAAGCACAUAGACAAAACUAGCUAAUAACUUCUCAUAUAUACCUCAAAUUGGGUAUAUGAAUAUACCACAGUGACCUACACAACCUCAGGAUCAUCCCUAAAUUUUUAGAUUAAUUUUUCAAUGCCCCACGCGCCGGCGAGUGCACGGCAAAACGCGCCGGCCACGCGCGGUCACAUGUAACCGAACAGCAACGGCGUUAGGAAUAUUCCGUUAAAACCCAACGGUAACCAUCCAAACUAACUGAUGGCGUUAGCAUAUUCCAUCAAAAUUGACGGAAUAUUCUUUUUUUUUUCUUCGAUGAGUCGCCGGUCGCCGGCGACUUCGUCGAUUUUUGGGUAAAACUUCUAACCGUCUAUUCUCACUCAUUUUUCAACCAUUUUCUUCGAAAUUUAAACCAAAUGAAAGCUUAGAGUGAGAAAAAUGGCGUUAUACCUAUUUGAAGCAUCAAAUAUCACGAAAUCAUGUUGGGGAAGCUUCGAAAUUCCGACCAAACCUGCAACUCGUCGUUUCUUGCAAUCCCAAUGUCCAAAUUCUUCAAACGAACUACCCCGAGCCUCCUUGGGACCUCCUAAAGCUUCCUACAAGCUUAAAAUCCCCUAAUAAUUGAAGAAUAAAAGUUGCAUGAACAAUGCAUGGAAAUCAGACAUUGUGGUUCUACGUGAAAUCGAAGGUAAUCUUACCUAUAUUUGGUACCUUUGAACUCGCGAGGACCUUAAGAACACAAUGGUACCAUUUUGUUUGAGAGGUCCUUGAUGUUUGUCCGUACAAGAAGAAAGAGAGAGAGUGUGUGUGUGAAAGGGCACGGGAGAGAACAGAGAGAAAAAGGUAUGUGUGUGUGGUCCUUACAAAGUCAACCAAACCACUUAUACACUAACCUUUAAUCCAAGUUCCAAAUUUCCAAAUUUAAACUAAGGUUAGUUCUUACUAUAACCCUAGCAUUCAAAUUGGAACCAAAACACACAACACCGCGAAACGUUCAAGGGUAAAAUUGUCAUAUCAUAUCAUCGAAAAUUAAAUAUUCGGGACGGGUUGUGACAAUAUUUCAUAGAAAUCAUUUUUCUAAGAAUAAAUUAUAGUAUAGUUGUUAAACUAGCUAGUUCUCACGAACAAAAAACAGUCACAUGCUGGUCCCUUUAGUUUUGCCCUUAUUGAUUGUCGCAUUUGAAGACAUGUUUUUCACACGUUUCUAGCGUCAACAUUUUCAACGAAUUCAUUUAUUGAUCAGCAGAACUUUAUUUGUGUUUAUAUUUGGAUUUUGGAGCAAUUUCGGAUAUCCCGACAAAUCCACCACAUCUUCAAAUUUCCGGAAAGAAAAGCAACCAAAUUUAAUUUUACUUGGUAUGGACUGCUGAAUUUCAGCUCCCCGUCAACACGCAAAUUUCAAACCUUUUCCAUGUAGACGAUGGCUAUGGUUGCACCUUCGUCAAUUACUAUCUAAUCUUGAUCUGGGUUUUCGCUUAAAUUCCUCAAAGAUCUGAUUUUUGGGUUUUCUUCGAUUCAGCGUUUCGUCGUUACCCUUUUGUUUUUCGAUUGAAAUCCGCCACAAAUAUCCCAGAAUCCUGAUCGGAAAAUGGGUUGCUGUAGCAGCAAAAAGAAUGCUCCGAAACCCGGUUCAAAUGGGUUUGGGUCAUCCCAGCCUUAUCAGCAGCAGCAAGCGGCGGCUCAGCCUCUGAAAGUCUCAUCCCAACAACCCCACUACCCACCACCACCACCACCCAGACCACAGCCCCAGCAGAGGGCACAGGCUGCACAGCCGCCGCCCCAACCAAGAGCACAGCCCCAGCAGCCAAACCCUUCUCCAGUAAAACCAGCGCCGCCGCCGAAUAGCAUUCUCGGGAAGCCCUUUGACGACAUUAAGCAGUACUACACACUCGGAAAAGAACUGGGCAGAGGCCAAUUCGGCAUCACAUACUUGUGCACUGAGAACUCCACCGGCCACAGUUACGCCUGCAAGUCGAUCCUGAAGCGAAAACUCGUGAGCAAAAACGACAGGGAAGACAUCAAGAGAGAGAUUCAGAUUAUGCAGCAUUUGUCUGGGCAGCCAAACAUUGUGGAGAUCAAGGGAGCUUAUGAGGACAAGUACUCUGUGCAUUUGGUCAUGGAGCUCUGCGCCGGUGGGGAGCUUUUCGAUCGGAUCAUAGCGCAGGGACAGUAUUCGGAGAGGGCUGCCGCUGCAAUUCUGCGUGACAUUGUGAAUGUUGUGCACAUUUGUCACUUCAUGGGCGUGCUGCACCGCGAUCUCAAGCCAGAGAAUUUCUUGCUGUCUAGCAAGGAUGCGAAGGCAAUGCUGAAGGCAACGGAUUUCGGGUUGUCUGUUUUCAUUGAGGAAGGUGAGUGCAUUGAUUUUUAUGAUCUAUGUUCAUAUUUCCUGUUACAAGUUGUAGAAUUUUGAGCUUGAGCGUUCUGAGUUUGAUUUUGUAAUUCCCUAUUUUUUGAUAUAUGCCAAAUGUGUUCUAAAAAUACCAGUAAUAGUUUACUACAAAUUGUUAUUCAUCUAGUUUAGUUGCAGAUGUUAUAAUGGCAAGAAGUUACAUUGCGAACGGAAGGUUGUGUAGUUUACUGGGAACCGAUAAUAUGAUUGUUUAUACAUUGUAGUGAAGGUUUAAGUAGUAAGAGUGGUCAGCCUGCGCCAUUUCCUACCUUAUGCGGUGUAGCUAAUCGAAUUAUGAUGUUUAUAAACUACUUUAUUCCUUUGUAAAGCUUUCCGAAAAAAUUCAUUUUUUCAUUUUAUUGCUUCAGUUAAGUAUAUAUAAUCUGAAGUUUUAAUCUAGUGGAUACAUUCUAAUGUGUAGCUAUACCUGCUUUGUCCUAAUCUCAGGAAAGGUGUACCGUGAUAUAGUCGGCAGUGCUUACUAUGUUGCUCCUGAAGUCUUGCGGCGUAGUUAUGGAAAGGAAAUAGAUAUUUGGAGUGCAGGGGUUAUUCUGUAUAUCCUACUCAGUGGUGUACCUCCAUUUUGGGCUGGUAAAUAUGAAUUCAGUGUAUUCUUGCUAAACAUUCACUGUUCUCUUAGGUUGUAGUUAUCUUAUCAUUAUAUCUCGCUCUUUAUAUUGCAGAAACUGAGAGGGGCAUAUUCAAUGCCAUAUUGGAAGGAGUAAUAGACUUUGAUAGUCAACCAUGGCCAUCAAUAUCAGACAGUGCUAAAGAUUUGGUUAGAAAGAUGCUGACACAGGACCCAAGAAAGAGAAUUACUUCUGCAGAAGUUCUUGGUAUGUUACCUCUCAAAUACUAUUUUGGAUGGAUUGAAAGUUACAAUGAAGCAACACAUGCUGUAUAAGAUAUAAUUUCCGUCGAUAAUUUCUGUUUGUAUGAUUUAUAGACCAUUCUCCUCAAAUGUGUUAUAAUCUCUUUUGAAACGACAUCUUUUUCAUUUGCCUAUGAAAUGACAUGAUAGAAAUUAGGCCUUGUGCUGGCGGUCAAGGGAUAAUCCUAUGUUUAGUUUUUUAGUAAUCUGUUGCUUCCAAAUCAACGAGCCAAAUUUAGCAGUUAAAUAGAAGCUGAAAGGAUAAAUAUACAGCAUUACAAUAACCAACUUUUAGCCACACGGCCCUUGUUACCACCAGCUCUUGUUUUAUGAGUGUGCUUUUGACUGAUAUUUAAUAUUCUGUAUGCUCAGAGCACCCGUGGCUCAGAGUAGGCGGAGUAGCAUCAGACAAGCCAAUAGAUAGUGCAGUUCUCUCUAGAAUGAAGCAAUUCAGGGCAAUGAAUAAGCUCAAGCAACUUGCUUUGAAGGUAAUUUCAGGACUUUGUUCCGAAGCUCCUAUAUUUACCUAAUAUUGGCAAAGUUUCCAGAGAAUUUCUUCUUACCAUAUUUGUCUUUUUCCCCUAAUAAUUUUUGUACAUUUUGAAAAUUUCCCCAGGUCAUAGCAGAGAAUCUAUCGGAAGAAGAAAUUAAAGGCCUUAAAACAAUGUUCACCAAUAUGGACACUGACAACAGUGGUACAAUAACUUACGAAGAACUGAAGACAGGUUUAGCGCGUAUUGGGUCGCGGCUGUCUGAAACCGAAGUUAGGCAACUCAUGGACGCUGUAAGUAACUAUCAAUUCCCCCGGAACUCAAUUAUGUUGCUUCUGGCUAUUUUUUGAUUUCCGUGUAACACAUUUCAGGCUGAUGUGGAUGGAAAUGGAUCGAUUGAUUACAUAGAAUUUAUAUCUGCGACUAUGCAUAGACAAAGAUUAGAAAGAGAUGAGCAUCUCUACAAAGCGUUCCAGUAUUUUGACAAGGAUAGCAGUGGGUGAGUUGACAAAUUUUGUGCAAUGCUUCUGUAUACAUAUGUCGUACUGGAUUUCUGUUUUUGAUCAAGUGAAAUUCAACUACUUGAUCCUACUGGGGGGAAAUAAAUAACUUUGGAUAAAUUUCUUGUUAUGAUCGUGCUAGAUGUGUGCUCAAACAACUUUCUGCUUAUUGAUUCAUAAAUUUAGUCUCAACUUGUGAACUUUUGCAAGCUGAAAUUGAUUCACCCUGUUUGUCAGGCAUAAGUAGUUACGAAUAUAUAUAUUAGCUUGUAAUAUCAUAAUUUACUAGGAAAGAAACUGUUUAUUUCUUUUUAUCAUUCAGUCAUAAAACGAAUGUUAAUGUAGUUCCUUCGUCAAUUUCCACUAACAGGUAUAUUACAAGAGACGAAUUAGAGGCUGCUAUGAAGGAGUAUGGAAUGGGUGAUGAUAACACCAUCAGAGAAAUAAUUUCUGAGGUUGAUGCUGAUAAUGUAAGUUUACUUACGACUUUCAAAUAUCUGUAACUUUUUCUCAGUCGUGUUCUGCACUGAUUUACUUUGAACCAAAUAGGACGGGAAGAUCAACUAUUCAGAAUUCUGUGCAAUGAUGAGAAGUGGGACUCAACAACCAGCAAAGCUCUUUUAAUUCCACUAACAGGCAUUUCAGAACUUACAAGCACAAGUGAAUCGUUAUGGAUUUGAGCUGCUUAAGUGAGUUUAACUGUUGGGUAGUAUGACUCGUGUGCUCGUAUCAGAGCAUUAUUUCCGGGAGGUAUGAAGUAAACCAGACUAAUCUUGAUCGAAAACGGGCAGUUUGAGCAUGUGAAGCUAGAGUUUGGUGUUUGAUUAAUUAGGCUGUGUUUCUGUGCAUCUAUUUACUUGUUAGCUUAUUUUUUUGAAGUUCUGUUCAAUCUUGUUAUGAACCUUUUCCUGAAUAUACGACGAUUUUAAUUAAUUUAAAAAGAUUUCGUUGUGAUAUAAAUGCUGAACAAAAGUACUGCCGAUGAUAGGAGUUUUGCUCUGUAUGCUAUAUUGAUAUCAAUAUUGCAUCCAACUCAACUCAACCUCUCUUUUCAUGCUAUGUUCUUUCACUGUGAUUUCUUCCACGAGGAGUUGUGUUACGGCCAGUCACCCACACGCCUUGAAUUGACCACACACUAGAAUGGUAAAAUCUCUCUAGCUUCAGUUAAGUGCUCAAUCAGUUUGGCGACGGAGAUCGAAUAUGAUUGAAGUUGAUUCCAUGCAAUUUUAUUAAAGUCUCAUUCUUUGAGACGAGACUUAAAACCCAACAUGUUAGACCAAUGUCCAAUUUAACAAGUUUAGUCCCAACAUUUAUAAGUUCACGGUAUGAUGGCUAUGAUAGUACCAAAUAUCUCAAUUCUUAAACUUCAAUUAAUCCUUUUAUUUUUGUGCACACUUUACCAGAAAAAAAAAACACAAAGUACAUAUACGAAGGAGAAGGAGUCCUUUGGAAGGACACCCACUUGACAGACACCCUUCAAUCCCAGGAAUCCCAGGAUUUUUUAUUAGAAUGUACUAUUUACUUGAAAAUUAAAAGGGCAGUAAUCAAGAGAGGUAAGUACUCAUUAUUGUAGGACUUUCCCUUCCCCACUCCAGCACUGCAGCACAGUUUCCAUACAAACCCUGAAGAAACAUUUCUUUAUUUAUAGCUACCAUUUUGGGCGCCCACAGGUUUCUAUCACAUACACCUCGUAUUUGUAGGGCAUAUCUCAUAAAAACAUAUAAUUCUUCCAAACUUAGGAUCUCUGAUACAGUGAUAAAUGCUAUUACUCAUUUGAAUUACUUACUCUUUUGCUCCUUCAGCACCAAGACGACAUUGUCAUGAGAUUAUCGGUAACACUAAAUUUUUUUAUACAAGUGAUAUUAUGAGAGCCAAACUAAAUGCAGGACUUCGAAUGCUGUGAUAAACUCUUUUAAAUUUUAAUCAACUGAGUUACAAACUCCUUGUUGCAUGAACACUAAAUUAGGAAAGAGCAAAUGAAGGUGCCCAAAUCGAAUGACAGGAUUUUUGUUUAAAAUUAGAAGGAUGGUAUCCAAGGUUUUUAGCCUUCAUAUUCCCUGACACAAAUCGCAUUUUCAAGGGGCUAAGCAUUCCCACGUGAGGUUGCAAGAUUCUAUGAUGCUGCCCACUUACGAUAUAUAUUAUGUGCACGUGUGCAGUACAACCCCAUCUUUUUUAUACAUCCACUUGGGACUCCCUAAGUCAAGACAUACCUCAAAUCAGCACUCCCUUGAUUGCUAAUUUUCAUUAACUACAAAAUUAUAGAAAUGAUUAACUUAAACACGAAGAUAAACCUGCCCCGGUUUGGAUUAGGAUUAAUUAGUACUCCACGCUAACAUGAAAUGACACAAGAACACAACACGAUACAACUCGAUUUCCAUCCUUAUGUGCGCUUGUAGAAUUUGUUCGGAUUUAGGUUAAGAGUGUAAUUAACAUAGUCUACAAACUAUGUAUUAUUUUUUAUAUGGUAAUAUAAUAUAGGAAAAGAGCAUAGGAUGCUCUCUAAUCUAGCAUUGCUGAAAAAUUAAUUAAUUAAUUCACAACUGUUUUAUAUGUUAGUACAAUUUUGUUUAUUAAUUAAUAUUAAUUCACAACUGUGAAUUGUCACCAAAUUGUGAGAUUCAAAGCUCCUUUUUUAUUUUAUAAAUAAAUAAACAAAAGGUGAGGCCUUGUUGGAUUCUUAUUAAUGAAAUUUUAUGGAUUGUAAUCAAACAAUUUUCAAAAAUGUAAACUUUCACAUAAGAAAAUAAACUGUUUUUUUUUUUUGUUUAAGAAAGGGGCUAAUGGUAUGAUAUAAGAGAAAUUACAAAAUAAUGUUGCGAGGUCGAUAGACUUCAAAAAUAUCAUACAAUAAUAACUGCUUACAAGAAGAUGAAGUUUGCUCAAAAUAGAUUGGACACAAAGCGUGAGAGAAGCUCAGUAACUCAUCAGCAACACAAUUUAUCUCAAGAUAAAUAUGCCGAAUAUUAUAUUCCCAAUCAUGCAAUAACAUCACACGAUAAUCAUUUUGGCAAAGAAAAAUGAUCUCCACACUGCUCUUUUCUUUUGUAUAUGUGCUUGUUUAUGUUAUUUGGGUUUUCUUUGAUUUAUUCGGUCUAAACCCUACAUAAAGAAGAAAAUGGAUGUGCGAGAAUCGCUUUAAUACUGAAGUCCAACGAGAGGGAGAGAGAGAGAGAUGUGCACGUGCAGUUGCAUGUCUGCCCCCUCGCCAGUCGCCGCUCUACUUUUCCAAUUUAGAAAACUGAAACAAAAACCAAGCACAAAAAUAGCCCUAAUCUUGCUUAAAUAUGUUAAACUUAAAUAUGUUAAACUUUAUCUCAAGAUUUUCUUCCGGCAGGACGCAUUUUCUCUGAGAAUUCUUUAGAUGGUAUUUUCCAUUUAAUAUGAUAUUCUUACUGGUGUUCAAAGAUUAUUACAUAUUUCAUCAUAUUGGUGUUCGUCCUAAUCAAUGAUGGAGCUUCACUCUUGUGCCCCUCUGGUCAAUUCUUCUGCACUGUGCGUUAUAGAGGAAGGGAUGAGAGGAGAGAGUGUCAAUGUCGUUGUUGCUGAGGUUUCGGCCGAACUCGAGAGGGAGCGAAAGAAGAAUGCAGAGCUCAUGGAGAGGAUACUAUUUCUUGAAGCUCAAUUAAAAGAACGAGAGGCUAAGCAGCCUCCUCAUCCAGCAGAUGGACAAGUAAGACCUUGACUUUUUUGGUAGCUUCUUUGCUUUUCAACGAAUAGCGUUGUAGCGAUGUUUGAGACCGCUCUGAAAACGGCUAAAAGCACUUUUUUUUACAACUAAAAGCACUUACGGUUUUGAAUGAUCAUGUUUAUGCCAACCUCUUAACAUUUGACUUCAGGGAAGUUCUUUGAAUGCAAUGAUAAGAAGCUUCAAGAAGUUCAAGCGACAGAAGACAGAACUAGAUAACAAUGGAAUCGAAGAUGGAAAUGUUAUCCCAACCGAAAUGGAUUCGAAGAAGAAGCAUCGCACGCAAUGCUUGGCUCUUAAAGAUCAAAUUCUGGAAGACCGUCUAGUCAACUGGAUGAGCAUGGAGGAAACUCAGUUUUUGCAUCUAGAAAAAGGAGAUGGCGGCGAUUCAGCUGACUGCGAUGACUCUGAUGAUAGCGAUGACGAAGAUGAUGAUUACCGUGAAGAGAAUUGUGUUAAUAAUGACUGUAAAGAAGGGGAAGUAGCUGAUAAUGUUUCGAGAAUUUGUAGUGAGCUGAAAUGUGAAGUUGUUGAUAAGGGAUUGGACGCGCAAUGUGAGAACGUUUUCACAGGUGGGAACGAGCCAGUGAUUUCAAAUGCAAACCAAGAAACGAAUGAACCACCUGAUACAGGACCAGUUUGUGAUGAGAUGCAACUUCGAACCCAAAACAAGAAAAAACCUAGUGAUUUUGGAAGUUACAAGGUGCCAUCUGAUACCCUUAAUUUCAAGGAGUUUAUUCGUGCAGGAUCUGCAAGCACAUCGCAACAGAAAAAACCUCCGAAGGUGGCAUUCUGCCCGAAAGAAGUGAAGAGAAUAAUUGAUUCAGAAGCCCUGCUGCAGAAAAAUGCUCAAUCCCACACAAUAAGAAAGAUCAUAGUUUUUGCAUCAAUUGGAAUAAGGCAUGGUUGCGAAGAUAUCUACGAAUUAGACAUCAAUCAUUUUAGCAUUUUAAGGAAGGGAGAGCCAUACAUGUCUACGAAAGAUCCCGGGGUAAGGAAGUUAGUAUUAGGAUAAGUUUUGCAUUUAAAUAAGUUUUCGAUCUUAAUCUUUCUUUGUUCAUCAGCAAAAAAGCAAUUUAAUUUUUGUUCCUUACCAGGAGCAUGUUCUGUAUGAGAAUCCUGGUGUUCGGAGGAAGGUAUUUUACCCGAAUCAACAGAAUCCGACAUUAUGUCCUGUUAAAAUACUCGAAGAAGAGAAGGCUAUGCGACCAUCGGAUUCUAGCUGCCCAUCAUGGCUAUUUCUCUGCAUAAAGUAUGGCGGAAGAACACGAAAUCUUCCCCAAAAUGAGUAAGUAUUAUUGGAGAAAUUAACUUUUAAUUUACCGAGGUUUGCAGCUUAAUUUAAAAUUCUAUCUGCAUAAAUGUGUUUCAGAUAUGUUAGGCAGCGUAUGGGAAGAAACAAGCUGAAGUCUUUCGGGCCACUAAUGUGUCGAAUGGCAAUGCUAGUUCAUGUUCGCAGUGGGAGCUUCUUCUUCAAGGCCUUGGGCAUCACUCUUCUUUUCAUGGCUGGUUUUCCUGAUGAUCUUGUUCAACAAGAAACUAAAUACCAGAGCUUAGACUUGCUUCAGAAAUAUUAUAGGUAUUUCAAUCUAAUAUACUAGUAGGAAAUGAAUAUUUCUGAAAAAAAGCUAUUCGGAUAGUUUUGUACCUCAAUGUAAUCUCUAAUAUAAUUGAAGCACGACAUGUUUUUCCUUGUAGGACGGAUGAGGAUGCUGAAGGGGAGGAGUUAUUUCUUCCACAUCCUAUGACUAGUGACACUGUAAGAUCAACUUCCCAGUUCAUAAAUCUGAGCACAUCCUAGUUUCGAUUUAACUUCCCAGUUCAUAUAUCUGAGCACUUCCUAGUUUCGAUUUAACAUUGACAAAUAAAUUCGAGUUUCUGAAGACUGAUCUUGUUUUCUCUCAGCAGGCCAGUCCAAGUUCUCAGCAGUUCGGUGGAAAAUCUUGUUCAACAAAAACAAAGGAGAAAAAACCACCUCACUCGAAUAGCAAGCCUCGCAAUAUACAGAUAUCUCCAUUCCCACGGACUACACUUCUGAGCUCUGCGCCUUCUACACAAUUUGGACUGGUAGGCCAUCAGACUUCUAUUCUUCACACUCAAGCAAUGGCAACAUUAUCGUCUCAUACGCCAUUAGAUGCUCAACCAAUCUCAAACGCUGUAAUUGCGAAUGCUGGUACGAAUAUCUCAUACUCUAGUCAAACACCGUAUCACAUUUUUCCCCCACAACCAGCUAACACCUUUGUGCCUAUGGUAUAUUGGCCUCCCCCAAACACAUUUUCUCCCGGACCCUAUCAAUCUACAUAUGGCUACCAGUCUUUCCCUUCUACCGGAAACUACUUCAUUCAUCCACAGCCCUAUUACAACAAUCCAUCUUGCAGUCCCUUGAACCCCAAAAUGGUGGAAGCAGCAGGAAAAAAUGGUGCAGCCUCGGAGGAAGCUGAUAGUGGCUACAAUUGCAGUUCAAGCAGUAUUGAACCAAAGAAGAAUUAGAAUAUCUGUCUUCCUUGUAAUUAUCAUAACUUCCUUAUUCUUAAUAAAGGCUUUGUUCAAUUCCGCUAUCUUGUACUCAAUGUAAGAAAAUGAGCCUCUUUUCGGUUUUCAUGGCAGAUCUUGUCAUCAUUUUAACUCCGAAAAUCCAGAACAGAACAACCAAGCACCAAGAUUUUAUGCAGGACAGGCUUACGAGGCAGCAAGUUCUAAAUGACGCCGCUGCCUCAUUAGCCUGCCCUGCAACCAUGAACCAAUACUCUGCGAUUACCCAAGUAUCAUCAAGAUUCUUACAAUCCUUCUACGAGGCAUGCCGAUCGAAGUCAGAUAUCUUUCUCUUUCACUUGGGAAAUCACACAUCUUUGAAAAAAAAAAUCCAAAUCUGCAUGAAUUAAUCAGUGCAUUUCCACCCAGUAACAAUAACAUUUUCAACUCAAAAGUUUCAUUUGCACAAUUACAUGUCAAUUCAUAACCACGAUGCCCUCGGACCCUAUCGCAACCUGGUAGCCUUAGUCAGCUGACUCACCGAAAUCAAAUUCCGCUUCAAACCCGGGACGUGCAUCACAUUGUGCAGCAUCCACGGAGCCCCACUCAGUAACUUGACAAGCACGUCACCUCUCCCAACAAUGUCCAAUGCCGCAAGGCCGGGUACACCUUUCCGUAGUUUCCGGCGGUGUACUUCUCCCUGAUUCCCUUGUGCGGCGAGCAGUGGAAGGCGACGCCGGGGGUGGUGAUCCCCGACUCCAGGGGGGAAUCGACGGUAAAAAACAAUGCUUCGUUGAUCACUUCGAUGGUGUUGGCGGCCCAACGGUGUGCUUCUUGGGCCUGAAACUCUGCCUGACGUGUCCUCAUUGGCCGCAGUGUAGGCAGGCGUCCGCCCAUUUUCCCAGACCCGAAUCCAUAGCAGGAGUCCUGGAUUUUCUCUCUCGGGAAGAAGAAACCUUAACAGCUAAUUGAUCGGGGCAUUUUUCGUUGGCCAUGACACCAAAACUUACUAGGAGUAGCAAAUGUGGAUGAGCAGUAGGGGAGAUUUUUCAGGAAUAUAGCUUGGUAUAUACUAAAUGUAAUAAUACAAUUUGUUGGAAAUUUCUGGUAUACCCAAUGUAAUAAUACAAUUGGUUGGAAAUAUGAAAAAAAAAUUUCAACCAAUUGUAUUAUGAUAUUUGGUGAACCGAGUCGUUUUCCAACAUACUGAAAAAUUUCUCAAGAAAUAGUGUAUGAGAACGCAAGAAACUUCGAUAAAUAUACUUAUUAGGACACGACAUGUGAGACAUGUGUAUAAAUUAUAGAGUCAAGUGAGACUAAAAUACAUAAGAGUCUCAUGCUUUUGUAAAAUGUGCUCCUAAAUGACGUGUUAUAUGGACCCAACUCCACAUCCAUAUCCCCAAGUUUUUCUCAUCUAAGAGAACCACCUUAGCUUAUGACAUGUGUAGCAAUCUCUCUCUAGGAUUCACAUCUAAAGGCAUUGGAUCCAAUGCCAUUUGUGGCCAUGUGAGCUUUUCUUAUGCAAUUCCUUCCUUUUUCUCUCUUAAUUUGCUUGUCUUGGUAUUUUCUAAUUAUCUAAUAUCAAUUAUGGAAACUUUUGGAACACUCCUCUAAUGGUUUAAUUAAUUAUUGCUUCUAAAGUUCAGUUCUUUAUUCUCUUUACUGUCUGAGUACCCAACUCACCAACCGGUAUUUAAUUAGUGCAUUUAUCCGCUUGAUUAUGUACUAAUCAGAAUCAUAUCCUUUCUUUCUCUUUACUUUCCACUUUAGUUUUAGUUACUUGAUGCAUUGAUCAUUGACUAAUUAUAAUCCACCACUACUUGGUAAGAGCUUUUUUUUUUUUUUUUUUUUUUUUUUUUUUUUGUAAUUUAUAACAAGGAGAAGAUUAACUACAAUCUGACGAGAAGAAGAUUAAACCCGUGAUUUAAGGAGUUGAAGAAAAAAUACGGUAAUCACUAAGGUAAUCCAUCACUUAUACACAACAAAACACUAGUCAAGCAUAACUACACACCAGGCAGCCUUCUCGGUUCUAAUAACUAUAAUUAGUUUCACAACAUCGGCAUGAUAUGCAAAAGAAGCUUAAUUUGCAAGCAUAUAGCAUACAUAACCAUCAUCGUUGAAAUCCAUACAUCAGCAUACAUGUUCAAAGUUCAAAUCAUCCAUCCAUACAUACACACAUCCCGACAUAUCCACCAUGCCCAUCUCACCCAAAGAGAAGAAGCCAAAAGAUAAAAUCGAAACCCUAAAUCAGACACAGUGCAUCAUGAACAAGGGCCACAUGAACAACUGACCACAUGCAUGCCUUUUAACCCUAGCACUGACCAACUUCCAUAAAAACAAAACAUACAUAUUGGUUAAAAAAAAACCCUUUUAUUAUCCAGCAACUUGCCCCACACACA
RNAcentral lists this long non-coding RNA (66582 nucleotides) under Malus domestica (apple). RNAcentral describes it as "long non-coding RNA (MDOM_LNC009765)". Lineage: Eukaryota; Viridiplantae; Streptophyta; Magnoliopsida; Rosales; Rosaceae. The record is from RNAcentral.